ACCCAACACAGGGGUUAUCUUAUAGUCACUAAAACCAGCAUCAAAAAAGAGUUUAGCCCAUUCUUUUUUGUUUCUUUCUUUACCACUAACCAACACCAUCAUCAACAUGUCAAAGAAAAGCUGAGUUUCAAUGGAGUCAUUAUUCUGUUUGUGGGUCUCCAUCACCAUAUCUAUAAUAAUCAGCUUUCCUCCUUUUCUGCCUUUAAUUGCUUCUUUACAUUUCUUCAAUAUCUUUAUGCAUUCUUCAUCACUCCAAUCAUGCAAAAUCCACUGUUUAUGAUCAAAAAUAAAAUUAAAAAAUUGUUAGCAGAAUAUCAGCGCAGCAUGCAGGAGAUUAGACAUUCAAAAGCAAGAAAACCUUUCAUUUAAUACCAAGUAAAAUAAAGAAAAGAUAGAAAAAAGAGAGAGCAUAAAUUUCAGUACAUGUCUUCAGUAAAAUUGCAUCAGCUGCAGGGGGUAUCUCCUCGAACAUGUUACCACCAACGAAUUUCAAGUUCUCACCAUCUUGAAGACCUGCAACGACAUGGGGGAGAUCGAAGACAAAGCAAUCCAAGUGAGGAAAUGCAUUAGCUAAAAUUNNNNNNNNNNNNNNNNNNNNNNNNNNNNNNNNNNNNNNNNNNNNNNNNNNNNNNNNNNNNNNNNNNNNNNNNNNNNNNNNNNNNNNNNNNNNNNNNNNNNNNNNNNNNNNNNNNNNCAGGAUCAAGCAUGGCUAGCAAGAACGGUGUCACACUCAAUGGAUUUUCUUUAACAAGAAGCUUCGAUGCAUUAGUAAGAACAUACCCUUUUAUUUCUCGGCCAUUUUCUUCUAUUUUUGCUACAGCAAAAAAGCCAGAAUGGACUAAAAUGCGCAUCAGGCGAGGAAUGCAAUGCGCUUUGGUUGGGUGUAUAGAUAGGGCAUUGAUUAGGUCAGAAAGAGUCAUGAGCUUGCCAUGCUUGUUAAUGGCGUCUGGUAUUCCUAAUUGAAUUGCACAUUUUAAGGACAUGGAAUUUAUGAAGUUGAAAAUAUGGUUCCAUAUAUGAGCUUGAGCUUCAAGCUGCUGAUCAGAAUCUAGGUUUAGAAUUUCUUCAGCCAAAUGAGCCAUUUUUAUGGGCUUGAGGCUAAUAGUAUUAGGAUAUGGUAGAAGUACAAAUAUGAUGAACAAUCAAUCAAAUACUUUUAAGUAUAUAUAGAGAGAGUGGUGGGGGAUUUCUUCCUUUCUUUCUUUAUUAUUUUGUUUUUCAAACGCUAAUUAUUUUAUUUUUCCCCCAUGCAUUAGUAUAUAUUUUAUUUUAUUUUUUCACAUUAUUCACAUUGAUGCAUGGUAGUUGCCACAAAUAUUCUGAAGUUAAUUAUUUUAUUUAAUUUUCCUUCUAUAUAUAUAUAAGCGUGUUCGGUAAAAUUAAUUGACCAGGAUCACAAAUUUUCUCUUGUUAUUUUAUUUCUCUCAUUUUUGUUGAUUUUAUUUCCAAAUAGAAAAAACAAAUCUCGAACCAACAAUUUUUGAGCCAAAAAUUUAGUAAUUAAUAUACGGAAACUUUAGUAACAUCAAAUAUUGUUGAUAGUAAGAGAAGAGUCCCAAUCACCUGGAUGUUCGCCACGUGUUUCAGGCUCAAUUGUGAUAUUGGCAAUGAUUAUAAAAAAGGGCCUACGUUCAUGUAUAAACCUUAAUCCUUUCGAAACAACUCAAGGACUCGUAUUUGAUAAGACAACAAAAUGAUAGCAUUUAGAGAUGAGUUUCAUGAAAAUUUCCACUCCAACAGUGAAAAGCAAUCAAGGGAUUGCAUUUGGACUUUGGAGAUAGGCUGCCUGAAAUUCCAAUCCUUUACCUAUCUUAAUAAAUUUGCCAAAUUUCUUAAAACAUGAUGCAGAAAUCUUUGGCAAUGAAUUUGACAAAGAUGCAAUUGACAUAAAUCAUUAAUUAAUUUACUCAAAUCACUCAUUAUCUUCUAUAUAUCAAUAUAUUCAUUAUUUCUUUUUUUUUUUUUUGAUAAUCAUUUAAUUAAUUGAAUUGUAUGGUUAUUUAAAAUAAAUUAAGGGCACUAUAAUUUCUAUAAUUUAAUAAUUUUACAAAUAAGAUGAUAAUUUAAUAAAGCAGCCUGCGAGAAAACAGUUUUUUAAAUAAUAUACUAAAUACAACUUAAUAAAUACAAUAUACAACGAUAAAAAAUUCAUAAGAAAAAUGGAUUUUUGAUAUAUAUUUAUGAAUUAUAAACAACCCGUGCAAAGCACAGAGCUUCGUUUAGUUGUAUUUAUAAAAAUUAAUAUCGAUAAAAAAUUUGAGACAAGCAAAUAAUCAAAUGAAAGGAUCUCUUUGGUUUAAAAAGGACAUAAAAUAACUUAAAGAUAGUUUGUUUUGUCUUAUUUCAUCAACCAAUAAUAAUUAACUAAAUAAUUAAUAAUAGCAUUGAUAUUUUAAAAUAAUAAAACUUUUUCAGUUCUCUUCUCUUCUGUUCUUUUCGCUUCUUGUGCAAUUAUGUCAAUUCUUGAUCUGUAAAUACUGUGUCUUUGUCAAUAACUUUGUCGAUUUCAGUUUAUUUUCCUUUUAUUAGGCAAACCAUCGAUUCACAACAACAGUGCCAAGGCGGAUUUACGGUCAUCCAACUAAUGUCGUAAUCGUCCUUUGGAUGGAGAUGCACAUUAAGAACUAACUUCCCUGAACAGUUAACUUGCAUUGUUGUUGGUCUUGGGGGGAAGCAUCUGUCUUUUCCAUAUUUACCUGUUAGCCGAAUCACUUUUCCUUCGUUACUUCCCAUUUGUUAGCGAAGUAUAGAAAAGCUGGUGUACACAUUAUUCCUCAAUUUCUCUGUUUGCUUUAUUUUGCAGAACAUCUAACACUUAAUUGUAGUUUAAUUUGAUUAAACUACAAUUGUUAACUUGAUUAAUCUGAUUAAUUGUCAACUGAUUAAUUUUCAUCAUAGCUACAGCAAUAGAUAUUUUUCAAUAAUUUUAUAUGCGUAUUCAAGAAUAUCAUUUCUAGAGUACCCUUUAACACUACCAAAUUUGAAAAAUAAAAAUAUGGACUCUGUCUGUAAGCAAUUCNNNNNNNNNNNNNNNNNNNNNNNNNNNNNNNNNNNNNNNNNNNNNNNNNNNNNNNNNNUUAGUAACAUGGCAUCAGCCGGAGGAAUCUCCUCAAACAUGCUGCCACCAACAAAUUUCAAGUUAUCACCAUCUUGAAGACCAGCAUGGGAGAUCAAAAACGACGCAAUCCAAGUGAGGGAAAGCAUCAGCUAAGCCUUUAGCCAUAGUUCCUGUUCCACCUCCAACAUCAGUCAACGACUUCAACCCAUCAAAAACUUCUUUGCAUUCUUUUAUCAUAAUACUCAUAACCAACCUGGCAUCACUUGCCAUAGCUUUGUUAAAAAGAUUGUUCAGAUUAGGAUUAUCUUCAGCAUAUUCCCACAAUGCCUUUCCAUGCGAUGUAUGAAAUGGUGUUUGGUCAGCAUUCAAGAGCCAAGUGCUCAAAUAAUGCCAUGGUCCUGUUAGAACAGGAUCAAGUGAGGCUAGCAAGAAUGGCGUCACACUCGAUGGAUUUUCAUUAACAAGAAGCUCAGUUGCUUUGGGUAGAACAUAGCCUUCCGAUUCUUGGCCAUUUUCUUCUAUUUUUGCUAUAGCAAAAAAACCAGAAUGAACUAAAAUACGCAUCAGGCGAGGAAAGCAAUGAGCUUUGGUUGGGUGUAUAGAUAGGGCAGUGAUUAGGUCUGAAAGANNNNNNNNNNNNNUGGGACCCACACAGUUUGAAAAGAAAAAAAAAUAAUAAAGAGGAAAAAAAAAGAACGUGCUGUUUGAAAAAGCAAAAGGUUGGUUGCCGACCUUUGAAUAGUUGGCAACCAACUAUGAAAUUAAUGGAGAGCCGUGUGUAACAAACACACGACUCUCACAUUCCCAUGUUUCUUAGUUUAGAUAUAUACCAACAACAAACGAGAGACAUUAGAGAGUUUUUAGUUUUAAAAAGGUUCUUAAAACUAAGGGUUUAGAAAAUAGUGAAGAUUAUUAGAGUGUUUUUGGAAAACACUUUGUGUGCCACUAUUUUUGUAUUACUUUCUUUGUGUACCUACUAUGUUUUUUAAUAGUGGAAGAGAUAUUCGGAGUUGGUCCCGUGGACGUAGCCCUAAACAGUUGAGGGUGAACCACGUAAAUUUCUGUGUGUCCCAUUUUAAUACUUCCGCUACUUAAUUAUUUUCGUAAUUUUAUUGCCGGUAUCCUAACAAGUGGUAUCAGAGCCUGGUUCAGCCUGUCAAAUAGCGGUACCAGAUCCGUGGAUAUAUUUUGAAAAUAAAUAUACCACGAAGACGAGAAAAUUACGACGAGUCCGUUGGUGCAGUCCGCUCGGAANNNNNNNNNNNNNNNNNNNNNNNNNNNNNNNNNNNNNNNNNNNNNNNNNNNNNNNNNNNNNNNNNNNNNNNNNNNNNNNNNNNUAAGCCCAACACUAUUCACGUAUAGUACUAUUUACGUGUACAGUAGUUACUAUUCGAGUAUACUGUUACUAUUCAUGGUCACUAUUCACGUAUACUACUAUUCACAUAUACGGUUUAUGUUGGUGAUGAUUUUCUGCGCAAGUCAAAAUGGACAAGCAAAAUGAUUAGAUCUCCUUAUGGUAACCAAAAUGCAUUUGCCCGUGUUUGGUUCAAGCAAACCGGAAGACAAGACUGAUGAAGAAUGAGCUUUCGAGCGUGAACAAGUUUGUAGUUAUAUUCGACAAUUUGUCGAUGAUAAUGUGUACAACCACAUUUGUAACGAGACUCACGCCAGAACAUUAUGGGACAAGCUUGAACAGCUAUAUGCCUUAAAAUCGGGCAACAACCAAUUAUUUUAUUUGACGAAGCUGAUGAAUUUCAAAUACCAAGAAGGUACUUCUGUAGCAGAUUACUUGAGUGAAAUGCAGGCAACUAUUCACCAGCUGUCAAAUAUGGGCAUAAAAUUUGAUGAUAAAAUCUUCGGCCUUAUGGUGCUUGGCUCCUUACUAGAGUCUUGGGAGACUCUGAAGAUAUCAAUAACAAACUCUACACCACAUAGUGGAGUUAGCUGGGAAUUUGUUAAAAAUGCUGUUCUCAAUGAAGAAAUGAGACGUAAAGCACACAUCUCAGUCAGACAUUUUUUUAGCAGAUGCUAAAAGAAAUAACCAGCCCAGAGGGAGGAGCCAAUCUAGAAGUUCAAAUACAAGAGAUAAGAGCAGGGGUAAAUCAAACAGAUUCGCCAAUACUGUGUGCCCUCAUUGUGGGAAGAAGGGCCACAUUAAAAGGUAUUGCCGGAAGUUCAAAAGUGAUCAGGAGAAGAUGAAGGGCAAAGCAAAGAAAGAAGAGAGCAGUGAUGAUGAAGCUAAUGUCAUUGCUGAGUUCCAACUGUUCAUAGAAGACACUAUCAAUCUUGCAACCCAAGAGACCAGUUGGGUAAUUGAUAGUGGGGCUACACUUCAUGCAACAUCCCGGAGAGAAAAUUUUUCAUCUUACACACUAGAAAAUCUAGGUGUGGUCAAGAAAGCAGACGGUAAACUAUUGAAAGUCGUCGGUAAGGGAGACAUUUGNNNNNNNNNNNNNNNNNNNNNNNNNNNNNNNNNNNNNNNNNNNNNNNNNNNNNNNNNNNNNNNNNNNNNNNNNNNNNNNNNNNNNNNNNNNNNNNNNNNNNNNNNNNNNNNNNNNNNNNNNNNNNNNNNNNNNNNNNNNNNNNNNNNNNNNNNNNNNNNNNNNNNNNNNNNNNNNNNNNNNNNNNNNNNNNNNNNNNNNNNNNNNNNNNNNNNNNNNNNNNNNNNNNNNNNNNNNNNNNNNNNNNNNNNNNNNNNNNNNNNNNNNNNNNNNNNNNNNNNNNNNNNNNNNNNNNNNNNNNNNNNNNNNNNNNNNNNNNNNNNNNNNNNNNNNNNNNNNNNNNNNNNNNNNNNNNNNNNNNNNNNNNNNNNNNNNNNNNNNNNNNNNNNNNNNNNNNNNNNNNNNNNCCUUCCAGAAUGAAGAAUGUGUUAGAUCUGGUACAUUCAGAUCUAUGUGGACCAUUGACGAUGUCAUAUAGUGGAAAUCGAUACUUCAUAAAAUUUAUCAAUGACCAUUCUAGGAAGACCUGGGUGUACACUUUGAAGUCUAAAGAUCAAGUUUUAGAUGUUUUUAAACAAUUUCUAAACUUGGUUGAGCGACAAACAGGCAAAAAGCUGAAGUGCAUUAGAACAGAUAAUGGUGGAUAAUACACUGGGCCAUUUGAUGCUUUCUGCAAAGAGCAUGGUAUUCGACAUCAAACAACACCUCCCAAGACGCCGCAACUGAACGGUUUGGNNNNNNNNNNNNNNNNNNNNNNNNNNNNNNNNNNNNNNNNNNNNNNNNNNNNNNNNNNNNNNNNNNNNNNNNNNNNNNNNNNNNNNNNNNNNNNNNNNNNNNNNNNNNNNNNNNNNNNNNNNNNNNNNNNNNNNNNNNNNNNNNNNNNNNNNNNNNNNNNNNNNNNNNNNNNNNNNNNNNNNNNNNNNNNNNNNNNNNNNNNNNNNNNNNNNNNNNNNNNNNNNNNNNNNNNNNNNNNNNNNNNNNNNNNNNNNNNNNNNNNNNNNNNNNNNNNNNNNNNNNNNNNNNNNNNNNNNNNNNNNNNNNNNNNNNNNNNNNNNNNNNNNNNNNNNNNNNNNNNNNNNNNNNNNNNNNNNNNNNNNNNNNNNNNNNNNNNNNNNNNNNNNNUGCCGAUAGAUCUGAAGAUGAUUCAACAGAUGUACAAAUAGUUCCUCGAGUAACAGAACAAAGACAAGUUGGAGAUGAAGAAACUAUUCCACAAGAACAAGAGCCAGAGUUAGAAAAUCCAAAAGUUCCUUAUCAGAAUGAACCAGAAGAAGAUUUUGAUGGUGUUCAUGUACCACCAGCACCAGAAGGUNNNNNNNNNNNNNNNNNNNNNNNNNNNNNNNNNNNNNNNNNNNNNNNNNNNNNNNNNNNNNNNNNNNNNGGAGAACCUGAAUGCUUUGAAGAAGCAAUGGAAAGUGAACACAAAAGGAACUGGAUUGAAGCCAUGCAAGAAGAAAUGAAAUCCUUGCAUGAGAAUAAAACAUUUGAGCUGGUAAAGUUGCCCAAAGGUAAGAAAGCUUUGAAGAACAAAUGGGUGUUCAGGAUCAAGCAGGAAGAACACAGCUCCCAACCACGAUUCAAAGCUAGAUUGGUUGUGAAAGGGUUCAAUCAAAGAAAGGGUGUUGAUUUUGAUGAAAUCUUUUCACCAGUUGUGAAAACGACAUCCAUUCGGACAGUGCUCGAAAUGGCCACCAGUUUUGAUAUGGAAAUCAAGCAAAUGGAUGUAAAGACUGUCUUCCUACAUGGAGAUUUGGAAGAAGAAAUAUACAUGGAGCAGCCAGAGGGUUUCAUAAAAAAGGGGAAAGAAGAUUNNNNNNNNNNAGAAAAGCUUGUAUGGUUUAAAACAGGCACCAAGACAGUGGUAUAAGAAGUUUGAAUCUGUUAUGGGGCAACAAGGUUACAAAAAGACCACUUCAGAUCACUGUGUCUUCGUAAAGAAAUUCUCUGAUGAUGACUACAUUAUUCUNNNNNNNNNNNNNNNNNNNNNNNNNNNNNNNNNNNNNNNNNNNNNNNNNNNNNNNNNNNNNNNNNNNNNNNNNNNNNNNNNNNNNNNNNNNNNNNNNNNNNNNNNNNNNNNNNNNNNNNNNNNNNNNNNNNNNNNNNNNNNNNNNNNNNNNNNNNNNNNNNNNNNNNNNNNNNNNNNNNNNNNNNNNNNNNNNNNNNNNNNNNNNNNNNNNNNNNNNNNNNNNNNNNNNNNNNNNNNNNNNNNNNNNNNNNNNNNNNNNNNNNNNNNNNNNNNNNNNNNNNNNNNNNNNNNNNNNNNNNNNNNNNNNNNNNNNNNNNNNNNNNNNNNNNNNNNNNNNNNNNNNNNNNNNNNNNNNNNNNNNNNNNNNNNNNNNNNNNNNNNNNNNNNNNNNNNNNNNNNNNNNNNNNNNNNNNNNNNNNNNNNNNNNNNNNNNNNNNNNNNNNNNNNNNNNNNNNNNNNNNNNNNNNNNNNNNNNNNNNNNNNNNNNNNNNNNNNNNNNNNNNNNNNNNNNNNNNNNNNNNNNNNNNNNNNNNNNNNNNNNNNNNNNNNNNNNNNNNNNNNNNNNNNNNNNNNNNNNNNNNNNNNNNNNNNNNNNNNNNNNNNNNNNNNNNNGUUGCUCUAUCAACAAGUGAAGCAGAAUUCAUAGCACUAACAGAAGCAUGCAAAGAGUUGCUGUGGAUGAAGAAGUUCUUGAAUGAACUCGGAAUUCAUCAAGAACGAUAUUUGAUAUUCUGCGGUAGCCAGAGUGCGAUUCAUCUUGGGAAGAAUUCCUCCUUUCAUUCAAGAUCAAAACACAUUGAUGUUAGAUAUGGAUCAGGGAUGUAUUAGAGAUGAAGCAGUUACAGCUUGAGAAGAUCCAUACAGAUCAAAAUGGAUCAGAUAUGUUAACGAAGAUUCUUCCAAAAGACAAGUUUGAAUAUUGUCGAUUAGCUGCAGGAAUGAUGGAGAGUAUGGCUAACGUCCCCACUUGAGCAUGCAGGGGGAGAUUUGUUGGUGGUGCUGUGCCCACUCAAGUGGGACCCACACAGUUUGAAAAGAAAAAAAAAUAAUAAAGAGAAAAAAAAAACGUGCUAUUUGAAAAAGCAAAAAGUUGGUUGCCAACUAUUCAAAGGUCGGCAACCAACUAUGAAAUAUGGAGAGCCGUGUGUAACAAACACAUGACUCUCUCAUUCCCUCUCCAAUAAAUAGGAGAAGAUGUUUCUCAGUUUAGAUAUAUACUAACAACAAGCGAGAGACAUUAGAGAGUUUUUAGUUUUAAGAGGGUUCUUAAAACUAAGGGUUUAGAAAAUAGUGAAGAUUAUUAGGGUGUUUUUGGAAAACACUUUGUGUGCCACUAUUUUUGUAUUACUCUUUUUGUGUACCUACUAUUUUUUUUAAUAGUGGAAGAGAUAUUCAGAGUUGGUCCCGUGGACGUAGCCCUAAACAGUUGAGGGUAAACCACGUAAAUUUUUGUGUGUCCCAUUUUAAUAUUUCUGCUGCUGAAUUAUUUUCGUAAUUUUAUUGCCGGUAUCCUAACAAAAGAGUCAUAGGCUUGCCAUGCUUGUUAAUGGCAUCUGGUAUUCCUAAUUGAACUGCACAUUUUAAGGACAUGGAAUUUAUGAAGUUGAAAAUAUGGUUCCAUAUAUGAGCUUGAGCUUCGAGUUGCUGAUUAGAAUCUUGGUUUAGAAUUCCGUCAGCCAUUUUUAUGGGUUUGUUAAUUGCAUUAGGAUAGAGAUAUAAAUUGAUGAGAUAUUGACAAUUAUAUUUAUUUAUUAUAUUUAUCGAGUGACUCGUGACGUCUGGUGUAUUGAAGGGUGUGCAACUCUUCUAAUCGGAUAAUAUUAUAUUUAUUUUCCUUUUUAUUAGGAAUUUUCUGUUUUUCUUUUUUCUGUCUCUGUUUCUUUCCCUCUAAUCAAAGUCCUAUCUUCUUGCACUCCACUAAACUAGGAGAUUUUUAUUUUUUUAUUUUUUAUAUUUAUAUUGAAUAAAAAACAGUAAUUGAAUCCAUCCCCGUAAGCAUAAGAGACAGACCAUGGGACAGGAUUAAUACCUCUUGAUACUAAAACAAAAACAAUAAAAAAAUAAUUGUGAUUUACUCUUUUUGAUAUUGUUUUUGAAAUUUUCUAAUUUAUUCUUUUUUUAAAUAUUAUUUCAUGCGUUGUUGUAUUUGGAAAAUAUUUACGAGGCUUGCUCAUGAAUAAUUAAUUGUCAUUUUAAAAAAAUUAUUUUGUUACUAUUUGUUAACGAAAAAGCAGUUAUAUCAACGUCAUAUUAGGUAGGCAAAUACCAUAUAAAUAAAUAUAUUUAUUAAAUUAACUUGGUGAAUAAGUAAUUGUCAUUUAAAAAUAUAUUUUUGUUACUAUUUUUUAACGAAAAUACAAUUAUAUCCACGUCAUAUUAGGGGUAACACAUUGAGCAGUACCAUACAAACAAAUACGUUUAUUAGAUUAGCUUUGUAUAUAAGUAGAUUGAUAUAUAAGUUCAAUUGUCAAUAUUUUUAUUCUCUUAAAUAAUUAAUUUUUAUUCUCACCAAAUUAAAUCCUUGAUUUUAUAACAAUUAAUUUUAAUUUUAAUUUGCAUUAUUUUAUUAUUUCUCUUUUGUGGGUUUUAUUGCUCCUAAUGGAUUUUUUAAUGAAUCGUACUGCGCCUGAAUGGGCUCUGAAUUAUUGUAACUGCUGCUAAAAAAAAUUAAUUAGUUAGAUGACAGUGAGUAGCAUCACAAAUGUACAUUACAAACUAUUUUAAGGAUGUUGUUAUUAUUAUGGCUUAUAGUAUUUUGAAAUGAUAGAGAUACAAAUAUGAUCAAACAUGUAUAUAUAGAGAGAUGAGAGCGUGGAGAUUUUUUUUAUGAUAAUAAAUUAUUAUGGCUUUUAGUAUUUGGUGAGGGAGAUUUUUUAAGGAGUCCCAUAUCUCAUUUAACCUUCAAUUGAUAAGCGUUAUUCACAAUAGCUUGAUUGUUUUUUUCUUGCCUAAUUACUUUUAGAAAACAUUGGCAAAUAAAACAAACAAUUCUUCAAAAUAGUGCAAAACAUUGCCUUUUAAAAAACUUUGGCACAUGAAGCAAUUCAUGACCUUCACUUGGGAUUAAGACGCUUUACGGACUGGGCAAUGAUCUCAUUGCCUGUGAGUAUACAACAAAAAUUUUUUGCUACUCUUAAAUUGCAGGUUGAAUGUGAUUACCUUACUGUGGUUAAGAUGGUUAAAAAAGAAGGGGACUGUGGUUAAGAUGGUUAGAAAAGAAGGGGAGGUGCCAGGGAGUUGCCAGGCCGUGGUGGCUAGUGUUCAUCGAUUGUUGGAAGGAGAGUGAGUUUGCCAAAUUUCCCACGUUUUUCGAGAAGUCAACUGUUGUGCUGACUGGUUGGCUGCUAAUGCUUCUCUGUCACAAGAUAGAACCCAUAUCUUGGAUUUAUGUCCUCCUGCUUUAUGUAAUUGGCUUUAUCAUGAUUCAAGAGGUGUUGCCUAUUGUAGGCGCACUCUGUAGUUUUGAUUUCUCCUUGUAUUACCAAAAAAAAAAAAAAAAAAAAAAUUUGCUAAUCUUAAAUUGCAUAUGAGCAAAACUUACUUUGCAGCCCCUUAUUGAAGGAAAUGGAAUGGAAGACGCUUUACUAGAGUAAUGAAAGACUUACCAAUUUAUGAGCAUGUCUAACAAGUUGAAAAUCGUUUUCAUUGAACAUUGUAGUUAAGGGUAUAAAUGAAUGGAGCUGAGCUUGACCUUGUGAGGCUCAAAGUUCGGCUUGAAACUCGACGGUCUGAAAAUUCUAAUUGAGCUCAAAUUCAACUUAAAGUUUGAAUUCAACUCGAAAAAUUUUAAAUUUGAGAUGGGCUCGAGGUUCAAAUAAGCCUAAAAUAAAUAUGGUACAUAUAUAUACAAAAGCUCGAUCAAGUUCGAUAAUCUUAAAUUGCAUAUGGGCAAAACUUACUUUGCAUGCUUUUUCGAACUUUUUUCCAGCCAAGUUCUAACCGUCUCGGUUCAUUUACACUUACUAAACAAUUACUGCAAAUAAAUUUAAAACUCAAGAUUCUAAAAAUUUUUACUUCUGCUUCAAAAGAAGUUAAGUUCGAGUGGAUCCAACUCCAUCAAUAAUUGUCUGUAUACAAAAAGGUUCAAUUUUUAGACAUGCAUUUGCAAUUUUGUAUUGUUUUUCUUGAAUUUGUAUUAACAUAUAAAUGUUUGGGUUUGCAGUUUCUUCCAACCAGGAAAUAAUUGUAAUUUGUUCAUGAAUUGGUAAACUUAUGAAAUUCCUUUUUUUUUAGAGGUUACUUUUGAAGUCCAGAGAAGUUCCAGAUCAGAAGCAAGAAAGGAGGAGAUGCGAAUAUGGGAAUUACAAGUGUGUGUUUAUAACUUUAUAUUAUCCCCUUGUCUUAAUUGUGUUGAAGCAGACAAUCCCCUGCCAUUCUUAAGCAUCUUUCUAACAGAGAAGCUUUCAUUCUGUCCCUUGUCCAUUCUUUCGCUGUACUUUUCUUAUUUUACAGCAACUGAGGAGAGGGAGUUGAGACUUGAGAGAUAGAUUGGAUAUGAUAAAGAUAAUAAAGUAUUUAGUUGAAGCAUUAUCCCCAUGUUAGGCUCUGGGUUUGGGUUACUUGUAAUUCCAAAAUGUGAAGGCUCUAAAGCGCAAUUGUUGGAAGUUGAACGAAAACCAGAGGAACUUGACAAAUAUAGUUGAACUUUUCUUUUUUAUCCUUUGUAAUUCUUUAAAUAUUAUCCCAAUUUGAAAGCUUAAUUUGCAAUUAAGAGCAAAUUUCACAGACUAAAAAUGUAAUUUUAUGUACUAAUUUAAUAUAAUCAGGCGAAAUUCGGAUACAUGCAUUAGUAUUUUCAAGUAAAUUUUAUUUGUAAAAUAAGGAGACGAAUUUUAUUUAUAAGAUCAAAUAAGUAGGCCCAAGCUAAGAAGAAAAAAUAAAUGCAGAAAGUAACGUUAAAAAGAUGAACUUUUGCUGAUCGUAAUGGCAAGGGAAAUGUUAUACUAAUGAAAUUUAUUUAUUUAUUUGUUUAUAAAAAAAUUGAAGAAAAAAAAUUAGGGGGGUAUGAUGGUCAUUUCUUUCCAUGUUGACUCACGACGGCGUUGUUCAUUUUCCGGGAAAGUUUCUAAACAAGCCUAUAUAUCGACCUGCCUUCCUUAGCAGUUAACAGCUUACUGAAUGCAUUUGCAUGAAAUUGAAAUGUUUUUCUCUCCCAAAAAACGAUAAACACCACAACAAAGCUUUUUCUCUCGUAUUCUUGGCUCCGUUAAUUUGAAUCUGCCGUGCGGUGCUUUAUAAGUUAACGAACUUAAAUUAUGAAUUUUUAAACAAAUCAUAAAAUUUAAUUAUUUAAUUCAUGUUUAGUUGGGUUAUUAGAAGAUAGGUAAUUAGACUGGGUUGAAAAUAGCUAAUAAUGCAUCGGGAGAGCUUGUUAGUAAUUUUAGGAUUGUUUCACUUACUUGAACAAUUAAAAUUGAUUAUCAAACUAAUAAAAUAAAUUGGAUAGAAUUAAGUGAAGUCAAAAUUCCUAAUAGUUUUUAAUCAUUGAUUUAUUUUCAUCAAAUAUUUUUGUUUGAUUUCUUACUCAUUGUUUUAUUUUAUUUUUCAAUCUAUUUUCCUUUUUAUCAUUUAAAUAAUAGUAGGUAACACAAUUUUCGUACUUGGUAUACAAUUUUCGUGGGACGAUAUUUUACUCAUUCUUUAUUACUUGUUUGUGAUUUCAUAUACUUGCGAAAAAGCCUGUCAACGCAUGGGUCCUGUGCGGCCCUAGUACACACCUAAUUAAAUUGGGUUAGAACCUCAAUUAUUAUUAUUAUUAUUUUUUUGUAAAUAAUAUAUGUGUGUAAUUUCACUUUUGUUUCAACGAGGCUCACUUUUGCUCAAGAUUGUGAUAAAUAUUGGGUGAAAAUGUUGCUAGAUUUGACAAGGAUUGCUCAAUAGAGGUUGCUAGUAUGACUUUUUCCUUUUUUAAAAUUUGGUAUUUUCAAACUCUUAUGUGGAUAUCAAUGUAUCCAAAAAGAAUAAAAUUUGGAAUAAUUUUUUUUUAUCCUAUUUGAAAAUGAAUUAAUUUUUAUCCGAAAAAUUGAUUUCUUCUGCUAAAAUCAUUUCUUAUUCCUAUAAAAAUACUCAAGUUAUGUCUUUUAUUAUUUUCUUUAUUACUGAAUUGGCAAAUUUGNNNNNNNNNNNNNNNNNNNNNNNNNNNNNNNNNNNNNNNNNNNNNNNNNNNNNNNNNNNNNNNNNNNNNNNNNNNNNNNNNNNNNNNNNNNNNNNNNNNNNNNNNNNNNNNGAGCGCGUUUAAGUUUUUGAUUUACUCAAAUUGAAUAUUGUGUACUCCUCUUUUUUUUUUUUUUUAAAUCGUCUGGUAUCUAGAGUUCGAAUCUUAGACAUUGCUUAUGAGAUCCAGCGCCUCAUCAUACUGGACCAAUUGGUGGUUGGUUUAUAUACUCCUCUUUUAAUGAAAGGAUUUCUAAUAUUAAUUUUUAAAAAAUUCAAAAACUUCGAUUUAAAUUUAAUUUUUAUUAUUAAAUUGAAAAAAUUACAUCAUUUAAUGUGAUAUACGUUUUAUUAUUUUCUUCUCUCUCUUUUCUAAACAAAAUCUUAAAGGAUUUUAAUCUUAUCCUUUUCAUUCGUGUGUGCAGUGUUCUUAGAAAAAUACUAUCUAAUAGCAUAAAAAUUCACUUGUAAUACGAUUUUGCUAAUAAAAUCUAAUGAAAUUUUCGUCUACAUAAUUAAAUUAUUAUAUAUUAUGCUCAAUAAAACAAUCCAUUUGUGUUUAAUUAGAUGUUCAAAUAAUGACAUUUAUAAAAUUUUGUAAUUUGUAAAUUUGAAAUUGUGAAUGUGAUGGCUACAAAAGUCUUACCUAAAAAAUAAAAUAAUUUUUUAAUAUAAAUAAUUAUUUCAUCUGUCUCUUCAAAACAAUUAUUUCAAACUGUAAUUAGUAAUAUUAAACAAUUAUUUUAAAACAUUCAUUGAGUAAAUACAGCAAGAGACAACCUCCUCAUUGAGUAAUAUUCACCAACUCGUUAAUAACAUUUAUAGUAAAGCCUCUAAAUAGAAUUCGACCCCUACUCUCACUUUUCACAAAUUGAAACAAACCCACAUAUUACUCUACCUAUUUCACAUAUAUGGUAGUAAUACAUAAUACUAAUUAAAGAUAAACUUCAAUUACAGACCUUAAACCCAACACAUGGGUUAUCUUAUAGUCACCAAAACCAGCAUCAAAAAAGAGUUUAGCCCAUUCUUUCUUGUUUCUUUCUUUACCACUAACCAACACCAUCAUCAACAUGUCAAAGAAAAGCUGAGUUUCAAUGGAGUCAUUAUUCUGUUUGUGGGUCUCCAUCACCAUAUCUAUAAUAAUCAGCUUUCCUCCUUUUCUGCCCUUAAUUGCUUCUUUACAUUUCUUCAAUAUCUUUAUGCAUUCUUCAUCACUCCAAUCAUGCAAAAUCCACUGCUUAUGAUCGAAAAUAAAAUUAAAAAAUUGUUAGCAGAAUAUCAGCGCAGCAUGCAGGAGGUUAGACAUUCAAAAGCAAGAUUACCUUUCAUCUAAUACCAAGUAAAAUAAGGAAAAGAUAGAAAAAAGAGAGAGCAUAAAUUUCAGUACAUGCCUUCAGUAAAAUUGCAUCAGCUGCAGGAGGAAUCUCCUCGAACAUGUUACCACCAACGAAUUUCAAGUUCUCACCAUCUUGAAGACCAGCAACGACAUGGGGGAGAUCGAAGACAAAGCAAACCAAGUGAGGAAAUGCAUUAGCUAAAAUUGUAGCCACAGUUCCUGUUCCACCUCCAACAUCAACCAAUGACUUCAAUCCAUCAAACACUCCUUUGCAUUCUUUUAUCAUAAUACUCAUAACCAACCUAGCAUCACUUGCCAUAGCUUCAUUAAAAAAAUUGUUGAGCUUAGGAUCUUGACCAGCAUACUCCCAAAAUGUCUUUCCAUGAAAUGUAUAAAAUGUCUGUGGAUCAUCAUUCAAGAACCAAGUGCUUAAAUAAUGCCAUGGUCCUGUUGAAACUGGAUCAAGCAUGGCUAGCAAGAACGGUGUCACACUCAAUGGAUUUUCUUUAACAAGAAGCUUCGAUGCAUUAGUAAGAACAUACCCUUUUAUUUCUCGGCCAUUUUCUUCUAUUUUUGCUACAGCAAAAAAGCCAGAAUGGACUAAAAUGCGCAUCAGGCGAGGAAUGCAAUGCGCUUUGGUUGGGUGUAUAGAUAGGGCAUUGAUUAGGUCAGAAAGAGUCAUGAGCUUGCCAUGCUUGUUAAUGGCGUCUGGUAUUCCUAAUUGAAUUGCACAUUUUAAGGACAUGGAAUUUAUGAAGUUGAAAAUAUGGUUCCAUAUAUGAGCUUGAGCUUCAAGUUGCUGAUCAGAAUCUAGGUUUAGAAUUUCUUCAGCUAAAUAAGCCAUUUUUAUGGGUUUGAGUCUAAUAGUAUUAGGAUAUGGUAGAAGAACAAAUAUGAUGAACAAUCAAUCAAAUACGCAUAAGUAUAUAUAGGGAGAGUGGUGGGAGAUUUCUUCCUUUCUUUUUUUUUUUCUUUUUUUUUCAAAUGCUAAUUUUUUUUUCCCUUGCAUUAGUAUAUAUUUUAUUUUAUUUUUUCACAUUAUUCAUAUUGAUGCAUGGUAGGUGCCACAAAUAUUCUGAAGUUAAUAUAAGAAUAAUAAUAUAUUAGAAAGUAGAAAAUAUCCUCGCACCGUUUUUACAAAAAAAAAAAUCAAUCCUCUUGCCCAUGUAUUUUUUCAUUAAUAGAAUUUCUGAUUUAAUGAUAAUCAUUUACCAAUAAAAUCUCUAAUUUAAUAACAAUCAUUUGUUAAAUUUAAACAUAUUUUACUAUUUAAGUUUUUUAAUAAAGAAAGAUUUUCGAAUUCACUUAUACAUUUUACUGAAUUCAAAAUUCAGUAUAUAUAAAUAUAUAUUACAAUUAAAUAAUUAAAUGUUACAAAUGUAUAAAUCAUCACAUUUGUAACCUUUCAAUCUCAGGACAUUAUCCUCAUUGUUUGUACUAAAUUAAAUCGGUAUUUUUUUUCUGAAAUUUCAAAUAUUAUUAAUGAAAGAGUUGGAAAAAAUUAACAUUAAAAUCUAUGCUAAUUGAUAUUUGAAAAAAAUAAUUAACAAUUUAUUAUUAUUUAUUUUGUUUUGAUUGAUAAGAGAUUCAUGUUCUCAAUUAUAUCAUAAUCACGAUCCAGCUUGAAAGGGAUUAAUUUCUCAUUUAACCGUUAAACGGGAUGUGAGACGACACCCUUGAUAAAAACUAAUAAAAAAUUGAUUUGGUUUAUGAUACGAUAAUUAUAUAUAUUUAUUUAUCUGGCGUAUGGCUUCAUCCAGAUAUUGAAUUAAUUCAAUAAAGGAAAACACUUAUCUAGAUUCAGUAUAUGAACUCACUUAUACAUUAGAUCAAUUACAAAUAAUGUUAUAGUUUAAAUGAUAGUAUUUUUAAUCAUACAUUAAGAAAAAAAAAGAUAAAAAUAGUAAUAUUUUUUUAAUUGACUUAGUGUAUGGCAACCAUUUGGCAGUAUAUGGACCACCUACAUAUAGAAUUGUCAAAUUUUCAAUCCCAACCAAACAAUAAACAGAAAUUCAUUUCCUUUAUUUUCCCACCUCCUAUAACUAUAAAAAGAAAAAAAAAAUACAAUCCAACAUCUAAACACACAGCAAGAUUCAAUCUUAAUGCCAACAAUUUCAUCCAAUGGCAACACAAUUUCUAAUAUCAAAACUAGCAAAACCCAUCCACAACCACAACUAAAAUAUAAAAAAAUCAAGAGCUCUUGAUUUCGAUGUCCAUUAAACUCACAUACAAGAAGAGACGAAGAGUUUUAACUAUGAUUAAACCCCGAGCCAAAUUAUGUGGUCCUUGAUAAUAGAGUCCGGAUAUCGAUGGUUUAAAAAAUAUAUAUCCAACAAUAAAACUCCAAAUUUUCCUAAUAAACCCAUGAAAACAAAAAACAAUAUAGCAAAACAACAUUUUCUGAAAAAAAAAAAAAAAAAAAAAAAAUUCUGAUGGAUUUGCACUAGAAGUGGACAAGAAUCACAAAUUAAUGGAUCCCAAUUUUGUAAAAUCCAAUAAAAAUAUCCAAUUAAUAACUCAAUAUCUUCUACUUCUCGUAUAAAUGAAAAGACCAGUCAAAACUACUACCGACGGAUUCCUUUAGGCCUUUAACUUAUCGGGACCGGCAUGGCAUAUGGUGCCUUUUGUCUCCAGCCAUUGUGAAAGUUACAACGCUUAAUCGUCUUAUCACGCUUUGCAAGUAGUUGACAAUGUCAUGAACCCACGCACGCAAGAGUACUCAGUUAAUGUUACAAUUAAAAAUAUUUGUUAUAUGUAACCAAAAAAAUAUAUUUGUUUAGAAAAUCUCCCUUCCCGAUAUAUAUAUAUAUAUAUAUAUANNNNNNNNNNNNNNNNNNNNNNNNNNNNNNNNNNNNUAUAUAUAUAUAUAUAUAUAUAAUCUUCAAGCAAAAAAUAAAUUAACACAGCUCCUUCCAUUCAACAUUCCUAUUUAUCUUUUUUUUAUAGAGUUUUCUUUUCAUUUUAUUUUAAUUUGAUUGAAUUUUAAUAUUUUCUAAGAUCACUUUAUCCAUUUAGAAUUAUUAUCUACACUAACAAAUUAUGAUUUGAUUAGAUUUUAAUAUUAAUCUAAGAUCACUCUGUCCAUAUGGAAUUAUUAUUUACACUAAUAAAUUAUUUGAAUUAUAAAGUUUAACUAAAACUUAGCUAUCAGAUUUAACUCCUACUAUCUAUAAAUAAUAAAAUUAACUCAGCAUAAAAAUGUUCAUGGCGAUGGAUUGAAUUGCUAAUGAUCUAUAUAUCUCUCUGUGUUCCUCAAUCUUCUACUUACAAGUGAAUAAAAAUCUUUUCUUUGGUGACCAAUUAUUUAGAUAUAUAUAAAAUGCAUGUAGCUUUUUAAAAAUCUUUUUUUUCUUUUAAUUUGGUUGAGUGAUGGUGAAUAUGCUAUUUGGAUUGAAAUAAUUUUGUAUUUGUCUCUUGCUAACUGAUUCCAUGUAUAUAAUGAAAUCAAGUAAUUAAUUACUAAACAUUCCCAAAUUGUUGACUAUUCUACUAAUUAAUGAAUUGAUUAUUUCAGUUUCAAGACUCUUUAAAGGAACAAAAGCAUAUAUAGAAAGCAAAAAAAAAAAAAAAAGCUAGCUUAUAUAUAUAUAUAGAGCUUUCUCCUAUCACAAUAAUCUAGUAAAAUUAUUAUUAUUAUUAUUAUUUUGAAUGCCUAAACAUUUAAUUGAAUUGUAUAGUUAUUUAAAAUAAAUUAAUGGUGCUACAAAUUUUAUAAUUUAUUUGUAUGGGAAAACAGAUUUUUAAAUAAUAUACUAAAUACAACUUAAUAAAUACAAUAUACAAAGAUAAAAAAUUUAUAAGAAAAAUAGAUUUUUGAUAUAUACUUAUGAAUUAUAAACAAACCGCACACAGCGCGGAGCUUCGUCUAGUUGUAUUAUAAAAAUUGAUAUCGAUAAAAAAAUUGAGACAAGCAAAUAAUCAAAUGAAAGGACCUCUUUAGUUUAAAAAGGACAUAAAAUAACUUAAAAAUUGUUUAUUUUGUCUUAUUUACCAGUUUAUUUAGAUCUCCAGCUUAUUUCAUCAACCAAUAAUAACUAACUAAAUAAUUAAUAAUAGCAUUGAUAUUUUAAAAUAAUAAAACCUUUUCAGUAAUUCUUUUUUAAUUUAAUAUCUAAAAAGUUUUUCAGUUUUUUUCAAUAAUUUAAUAAAUAAUUAAUAAUAUCAUUAAUAUUUCUCCAAAUAACAAAAAUAUUUUUCAUUAAAUGAUUUUUCUUCUACAAUUCAAAUAUCAAAAUCUAAAAAUACUUUUCAAAUAAGUUAUUUCUAAAAAUAAAAGAAGCUUAAAAGAAGAAGUUUUUCAGUUUGUCAAGUGGAGUCCUUGUAGAGCGCAGUCGGUGAACGACAGGUUGGCUAUAUGUCACAGAUUUCAAUUUCAUGACACGCAUCACUAUAACGAGAUUUCAUAAAAAAAAAAAAAACAAACGAUGUCGUUUUUUGUAGAGCGCGGUCAGCUGACAAAGCAUAUUGUAAUGAUGACACGUGGUUAAAUCGCGCCGUCUGAAAAACCUUCUGUGUCGAGAGGGCGCGAUUGUAUGGUGGUUCUCUACUUGUCUUCUAGUUCAUCUUUUAUUUCUUUCAGUAACAACGUCGAACAGCUUAUGUGCGCUGCAACCAAACAAGUGAAGUGGUCGAAAACUUAUAAAGAAGUAAUAUGAUUUUACCAGUGGUAAAGCUAGGAACGCUUGCUCUCAAAACGGUUUGCAAACCCAUAGCCAAUAGGCUCAAGAAGGAAGCAGGGCUGCACCCCAGGUUCCGUCAGUUCAUAAUCAGCAUUGCACAGGUUCUCUUCUCUUCUAUUCGUUUCCCUUCUUGUGCAAUUAUGUCAAUUCUUGAUCUGUAAAUAUUCUGUCUUUAUCUAUAACUUUGUCGAUUUCAGUUUAUUUUCCUUUUAUUAGGCAAACCAUCGAUUCACAACAACAGUGCAAAGGCGGAUUUACGGUCAUGCAACUAAUGUUGCAAUACGUCCUUUGGAUGAGGAGAAGGCUGUCCAAGCUGCAGCUGAUCUUAUUGGGGAACUCUUUGUUUUUACGGUAUUUCUCUCUUCCGGUUCCUGUUACUGGUCUAAAAUUAUAUAAAAAAGAUUGGAUUUUUAGGCAUACAUUUGCAAUUUUGCAUUGCUGUUCUUGAAUGUGAAUCAACAUCUAAAUGUUUAUGUUUGCUGGUAUAUAAAUUUCACACAUUGUUUUUUCCAAGCAGGAAUAAUUCUAAAAUGGUUUUGCAUGAAUUGGGUAAACUGAUGAAAUUCCCAUUUCUUUCAGGUUGCUGCAGCUGCUGUCACUUUUGAAGUCCAAAGGAGUUCCAGAUCAGAAGCAAGAAAGGAGGAGAUGCGAAUACGGGAAUUACAAGUAUGUGUUCUUAACUUUAUAUCAUCCCUUGACCCAUUGUGUUGCCCUGACAUUAUAUUUUGAUUGACAUUUUUAUGCACCUUUCUAAUAGAGAUGCUUUUUUUCUGCCCAUUAUCCAUGUUUCGUUGUAUUUUUUCUUUAUUGCAAUUGAGGAAGAAAGGGAGUUGACAGAUGGAUGGAAUAUGAUAAAGAUGAUAAGGUAUUUAAUUCAAGCAUUACCCACUUUGGUCUCAAAAAAGUAUAUAAUCUGUGUAGGCUGUAGGCAUGGGUUACCUGGAAUUCCAAAAUGUAAAAUUCCUAAGUUGACAGAUGGAAGGAAUGUGAUAAAGAUGAUAAGGUAUUUAAUUCAAGCAUUAUCCACUUGGUCUCAAAAAAUUAUAUAAUCUGUGUAGGCUGCUGGCAUGGGUUGCAUGGAAUUCUCAAAUGUAAAAUUUCUAAUCAUGGAAAAUCAAGUUGAUGCAUUGUCUAUUUAUUUAUUGAAUAUGCCAUUUCCUCACAUGGAAUGGAUCCAUCAGAAAGUGGUGCAAUUUACUCUACUUGUGUCUAUCUAAAUUAUCUUAUCAAAUGUUAACUUCAAAUGUGUAAUAGUGGUUUGGGUACCAUCAACUAGGAAUUAUAAGUGCUUGUCAAACCUUUAUCACUUUGGUUUAUGCUUCUGUUUGAGCUGUGGAGAAUUUUAGUUUAUGACCUACCGGUGCUCUUGCCCUUUCUAUAUGUGUUUUGGUUAUGUUAUCAGCUGUUAAAAACAAAUAUCUUCACUCAUUAGUCAGGGAUUCAGAUGUUUUGGUUGCAAUUAAUAUUUGGAAAUAUACACUUAAUGCUCUAGUCUGUUCUUAAGCAAAAUGUACUGCUGUUGCAGGAGAUGAAACAAAGAGAUGAAGAAUUAGCGAAGGAAGUUGAACUUCUUAAACGCAAACUCGAAGACCUGGAAAAACUUGUCAAAGGACGAGGACUCGCUGGCCUUUUCAACUCCAGGCAUGCCCAUGUAUUCCAAGAUGGAAAAACAAAUUCAACAUGAUAACUGUGGGAAUCAAGAAUCAGGAUGCAGUAUGGAGAUGCACAGUAAGUACUAACUUCACUGAACAGUUAACUUGCAUUGUUGUUGGUCUUGGGGGGAAGCAUCUGUCUUUUCCAUAUUUACUUAUUAGCCGAAUCACUUUUCUUUCGUUACUUCCCAUUUGUAAGCGAAGUAUAGAAAAAAGCUGGUGUACACAUUGUUCCUCAAUUUCCUUAUUUUGCACAACAUCUAACACUUAAUUGUAGUUUAAUUUGAUUAGACUACAAUUGUUAACUUGAUUAAUCUGAUUAAUUGUCAACUGAUUAAUCUUCAUCAUAGCUACAGCAAUAGAUAUUUUUCAAUAAUUUUAUAUGCGUAUUCAAGAAUAUCAUUUCUAGAGUACCCUUUAACACUACCAAAUUUGAAAAAUAAAAAUAUGGACUCUGUCUGUAAGCAAUUCGCAUAUCCAUGGUAUAAUAAUUGGCAUAUCCAAGGUACGCUAACUGAGUUCUUUCAUUCCCGAAGCUGCCGAUCGCAUCCAGCGGGACUUUAUUCGGAUGCUAGGAUUGACAAUGAAAAAUAUAUAUAGAAAAUAAAUAUAGGGCAUUGAUCGACAAAAUUAAAAGUAUUUGCCAAAUUUCAAAAAAAAAGAAAAAAAAGAAAAUCAAAGAUUCGGGCUUUGUUUGGUGAUUAAGCCUCUAUCAUAAUCUAGUAGUAUGCUCUCAAAAACAUNNNNNNNNNNNNNNNNNNNNNNNNNNNNNNNNNNNNNNNNNNNNNNNNNNNNNNNNNNNNNNNNNNNNNNNNNNNNNNNNNNNNNNNNNNNNNNNNNNNNNNNNNNNNNNNNNNNNNNNNNNNNNNNNNNNNNNNNNNNNNNNNNNNNNNNNNNNNNNNNNNNNNNNNNNNNNNNNNNNNNNNNNNNNNNNNNNNNNNNNNNNNNNNNNNNNNAAAAACCGGCGGCGGUGAUAAUGGCGGCAACACCACCGGAAGUAGAAGAAGAGUUAGAGCCAGUAGAACCAUAAUAAUAAUCGACUUCAACAUCAAAUGGUUUCACAUAAAUAACCGGCCACCAUAAACUUGCAUCCUUAAAAACCCUUUUAACCGUUGGAUGAUGAUCAUGAUAACCAAAAGGCAAUUUUUUGAUGAUGAUCAUAAGGGAAGUUAGUAUUAUCCAUUUUUGUUGCAGCGGAGCAUUACUGUUCUUUGGUGUUGGAAAAUAUGGAGUUGAAAGAAGAAGAAGAAGAAGACAAGUGGGUUUGUGUCUUGUAUUUGAAAAAGUAGAUAUGAAAAAGUAGACAAGUGGGUUUGGUGUUGGUGUUGGAAAAUACUGAUUUAAUUCAUGUUUUUGUGUUAUUAGAAGAUAGGUAAUUAGACCGGGUUAAAAUAACUAACAAUGCAUCGGGAGAACAUGUUAGUAAUUUUAGAGUUGUUUCUUCUACUUCAACAAUUAACAUUGAUUAACGAACUAAUAAAAUAAAUUGGAUAGAAUUAAGUGAAGUCCUUAGUAGUUUUAAAUCCUUGAUUUUUUUAAUCAAUAAUUGCCUUUUUUUUUAUUUCUUUUUAUUAUCUUUAUUUGUCGAAUUUAGUUUUUUAAAAUAAUUUCCCUAGAUUGCCGUUUAAAUAAUAAUAGGUUAAUAUAAUUUUGGUACUUGAUAUACAAUCCCUGUGGAUACAAUUCUCUUCUCAUUCUAUAUUACUUGUUGCGAUUUCGUACACUUGCGAAAAUCACACUGUGAGCAAGCAUUUUAUAAAUUAACUAUUGUGGAAAUGGAUAGUGUCAGAGACGUGAGUUUGGAUCAUAUUGUGAGUUUUGGCUCAAUCAAACCAAAUAUUUAUUAAAGCAAAUAAUAGAAAUCUCUUGUGCUAGAGAUUUUACAAUCACAAGUAACCAAACCAAAAGAACACAGAAGAGAAUUACUCUCCUUCGUCAAACUUAAUUAUAACCUAUAGCUAUUAACCUUGCUCAAACUUCAGCCUGUCCAUCUCUCAACAGUAGUGGAGCUUUUUACUUAAUCAUAUAUUAAUUAAGGAUAACCUUCAAUUACAGAUCUUAAACCCAAAUUAUGGGUUAUCUUAUAAUCACUAAAACAAGCAUCAGAAAACAGUUUAGCCCAUUCUUCCUUGUUUCUUUCUUUACCAUUGAGCAACAACAUCAUCACCAUAUCAAAGAAAAGUUGUGUUUCGAUUGAGUCAUUAUUCUGUUUUUGGGUUCCCAUCACCAUAUCUACAAUAAUCAGCUUUCCUCCUUUUCUGCCCUUAAUUGCUUCUUUACAUUUCUUCAAUAUCUUUAUACAUUCUUCAUCACUCCAAUCGUGCAAAAUCCACUUCUUAUAACCAACAAUAAGAAUCAAAAAUUGUUAACAGAUACAAAAAGAGGAACAAAAAAAAAAAAAAAUGGCAUCAGCCUAAUCUGAACAAUCUUUUUAACAAAGCUAUGGCAAGUGAUGCCAGGUUGGUUAUGAGUAUUAUGAUAAAAGAAUGCAAAGAAGUUUUUGAUGGGUUGAAGUCAUUGACUGAUGUUGGAGGUGGAACAGGAACUAUGGCUAAAGGCUUAGCUGAUGCUUUCCCUAUAAAAUUUGAUUGAAUUCAUCUCAUUGAAGAAGAAGAUAACAGAUACAAGUGCAGAAGAUUACAGAUUUCAGAUACAAGAGAGGAAAAACAGAGGAAGGUUUUCAACUCACUCAAGAAGAAAAGAAAAAUCACACACAGAAAACUUGUUACCCAAGAUGCUCUAUACAGUUACAACUAAAAACGUCUCUCUCUUGAUUUUUCUGUAACCAACCUGUAACCUCCCACUGUUGUUGUUAUAAUUGCCAUGGUCCUGUUAGAACAGGAUCAAGUGAAGCUAGCAAGAAUGGCGUCACACUCGAUGGAUUUUCAUUAACAAGAAGCUCAGUUGCUUUGGGUAGAACAUACCCUUUGAUUCUUGGCCAUUUUCUUCUAUUUUUGCUAUAGCAAAAAAACCAGAAUGAACUAAAAUACGCAUCAGGCGAGGAAAGCAAUGAGCUUUGGUUGGGUGUAUAGAUAGGGCAAUGAUUAGGUCUGAAAGAGUCAUAGGCUUGCCAUGCUUGUUAAUGGCAUCUGGUAUUCCUAAUUGAACUGCACAUUUUAAAGACAUGGAAUUUAUGAAGUUGAAAAUAUGGUUCCAUAUAUGAGCUUGAGCUUCGAGUUGCUGAUCAGAAUCUUGGUUUAGAAUUCCAUCAGCCAUUUUUAUGGGUUUGUUAAUUGUAUUAGGAUAUGGUACGUAGAGAUAUAAAUAUGAAUCGUAAUGCCUCUUGAUGGGCUCUGAAUUAUUGAUUUUAUAACAAUUAAUUUUAAUUUGUAUUAUUUCUCUUUAGUGGGUUGAUUGCUCCUAAUGGAUUUUGUAAUGAAUCGUACUGCCCCUUGAUGGGCUCUGAAUUAUUGUAACUGCUGUUAAAAAAAAAUUAAUUAGUUAGAUGACAGUGAGUAGCAUCACAAAUGUACAUUACAAAUCAUUUUAAGGGUUUUGUUAUUAUUAUGGCUUAUAGUAUUUUGAUAUUAUAGAGAUACAAAUAUGAUCAAACAUGUAUAUAUUGAGAGAUGAGAGUGUGGAGAUUUUUUUUAUGAUAAUAAAUUAUUAUGGCUUAUAGUAUUUGGUGAGAGAGAUUUUUUAAGGAGUCCCGUAUCUCAUUUAACUCUCAAUUGAUAAGUGUUAUUCACAAUAGCUUGAUUGUUUUUUUCUUGCCUAAUUACUUUUAGAAAACAUUGGCACAUGAAGCAAUUCAUGACCUUUACCAUAAAAAAUUAAAUUAAAAGACAUUUCCAAGUUUUAAUUAAAUUACACGAAGAUAUAAAAAAUUUUAAAACAAUUUAAGGAGUCUCAUAUCCCAUUUUGAUAAGCUUUAUUCACAAUAGCUUGAUUGUUUUUUUCUUGCCUAAUUACUUUUAGAAAACAUUGAAUUCAUGACCUUCACUUGGGAUUAAGACCCUUUACGGACUGGGCAAUGAUCUCAUUGCCUGUGAGUAUACAACCAAAAUUUUCCAGCCAAGUUCUAACCGUCUCGGUUCAUUUAUACUUACUAGACAAUUACUGCAAAUAAAUUUAAAACUCAAGAUUCUAAAAAAUUUUACUUCUGCUUUAAAAGAAGUUAAGUUCGAGUGGAUCGAACUCCAUCAAUAAUUGUCUGUCUACAAAAAGGUUCAAUUUUUAGACAUGCAUUUGCAAUUUUGCAUUGUUUUUCUUGAAUUUGUAUUAACAUAUAAAUGUUUGGGUUUGCAGUUUCUUCCAACCAGGACAUAAUUGUAAUUUGCUCAUGAAUUGGUAAACUUAUGAAAUUCCUUUUUUUUUAGAGGUUACUUUUGAAGUCCAGAGAAGUUCCAGAUCAGAAGCAAGAAAGGAGGAGAUGCGAAUAUGGGAAUUACAAGUGUGUGUUUAUAACUUUAUAUUAUCCCCUUGUCUUAAUUGUGUUGAAGCAGAGAAUCCCCUGCCAUUCUUAAGCAUCUUUCUAACAGAGAAGCUUUCAUUCUGUCCCUUGUCCAUUCUUUCGUUGUACUUUUCUUAUUUUACAGCAACUGAGGAGAGGGAGUUGAGACUUGAGAGAUAGAUUGGAUAUGAUAAAUAUAAUAAAGUAUUUAGUUGAAGCAUUAUCCCCUUGGUCUCAAAAACUUACAUAAUCUGUGUUUCAUGUUAGGCUCAAGGUUUGGGUUACUUGUAAUUCCAAAAAUGUGAAGGCUCUAAAGCGCAAUUGUUGAAAGUUGAACGAAAACCAGAGGAACUUGAGAAAUAUAGUUGAACUUUUCUUUUUUAUCCUUUGUAAUUCUUUAAAUAUUAUCCCAAUUUGAAAGCUUAAUUUGCAAUUAAGAGCAAAUUUCACAGACUAAAAUGUAUUUUUAUGUACUAAUUUAAUAUAAUCAGGCACAAUUCAGAUAUAUGCAUUAGUAUUUUAAGUAAAUUUUAUUUGUAAGACAAAGAGACGAAUUGUAUUUAUAAGAUCAAAUAAGAACGCACAAGCUAAAAAGAAAAAACAAAAGCAGAAAAUAACAUUGAAAAGAUGAAUUUUUGCGGAUCAUAAUGGCAAGGGAAACGUUGAUACUAAUGAAAUUUAUUUAUUUAUUUUUUAUAAAAAAAUUGAAGAAAAAAAAUUAGGCGGGUAUGAUGGUAAUUUCCCUCCACGUUGACUCACGACACCGUUGUUCAUUUUCCGGGAAAGUUUCUAAACAAGCCAAUAUAUCGACCUGCCUUCCAUAGCAGUUAACACCUUACUCAUUGCAUUUGCAUGAAAUUGAAAUGUUUUUCUCCCCCAAAAAACGAUAAACACCACAACAAAGCUUUUUCUCUCGAAUUCUUAGCUCUGUUAAUUUGAAUCUGCGGUGCGGUACUUCCUAAAGGUAUUUUCUUUUCUUUGUUUUUCAAUUUUUUUUUUUUUGGGCUUUUUUUCUUGUUUUCUCUGUCAUAUUUUGUCAUUAGGUCACAUUUUGGCUUCUGGGUUUUGCACUCUGGUCAUGUAUUAACGGAGCUAUAUGCUUUUUUUUUUUUUUAAUUCUUUUGGUUUUGAUGUCUAAUUUGGGCACUUUUGGAUUUUAUUACAUGAGGGUUUCAGGGAGGAUUGCAACUCUGUUGAAAAAAAAAAAAAAAGGUACUUUUCAGGGUUAUUGGGAUCAAGGGUUCUAUUUCCUCGUUUUCCAGUGACCAGUAAUCGAAGAUUGAAUAAUAAUAAUGUAGGCAGUUUUAUUGAUGCCUUUCAGAUGCUUGAGUGAUGUUAAGUAUUGACCUUUGACAUUGAAAGCAACUGAUUACUUGUUUCUUUUUACUAAAAGGAGAAAACCAAUGCAGAAAGGUACAAAGAGUAAAUGCUCAUCUGCGUCCCACCAUCUUAUGGUAGACAAUGCAAAGAACCGGCUCAACGUUCUUCAAGAAAGAUUCUUUAAUCUUCAAGCUGCAAGAAAGGAGGGUCGAAUUGGUGACAUUUCCAUAUUGGAGGAGCAAGUGUAUCAAAGUCUUCGCGAAUGGAAGGCUGAGCUUGACGCACCAUCCCCUGCCUCUUCUUUACAUGUCAGAAUCUCUAAAAAUCUUAAUGUUGGUUUGUUCUGUUUAGUCAAUUCUAAUUGUCUUUGUAAGGAUUGUGAUAGAAGUAAUUUCUGAUUUGUAUUUUGUAGGGUGGUAGCGUUGGAAAUUUCUCAGAUGAUAUAGGCCGCCUUCUGCAAUUAUAUGAGGAGCAAGAUGAUGCCACUAGUGCAUUGGCGGAACAACCGAUUCUGGAGCAUGAGCCUAAUGUUCAAAGCCUUAAUAUUGGCAAUUUCACAGCAUUUGAAGAUGUGAGAUCUGCUUUUAGGAGUCAAUGUUUGUAUUGUGACUAUAAGUAUAGAAUCUUUUUCUUUCUUUUUUCUUUUUUCUUUUUCGAAAAAAAAAACUUUUUUUUAUUAACCUUUUAUAUGAUAUUAUCUUGAAUGUUUUUAAAGAUUACAACACUAGUCUGUCUAAUACAAAAUAAAAAUGAAGUUUUUAAUUUUGCAUUGUUUAUUUGCUGGUUUUCCAAUGGGGAAAAAAUUGGGGAAAGGAACCCUCAUAUUAAUGGAGGCAGGCAACAUACUGAAAGACUAAGGUUUCAGAUCAAUGUUUGUAUGUUUUGAACAUUGUUUUUCUUAGUGAUUUGACAAAGUAGAUAUAUGCAUUUUUGCACUUUUACUUGAGCUCAAGGCUUCUGUUCGUAUGCUAGGGCAUAUGCAUUCAUCUUGCAGGAUAUUCUUUUGUACAUGUCUUCUGUGUCGUUGUAGCCAUUCUAUAGUAGCGGUUUCCUAUUUUGCAAGUAUACUGUGAAAAAACUCAAUGUUAUUGAUCAUACGACUUAUUCUAGCGUGACCACAUCUUUUAUGUGAAAUGUCAAGAGGAAUACAUGAGAACUUGUCAUGAGCGGAGAAACAAUUUGGCUUGUUCUGAUUUAGUUUAUUUAUACAUGCAUGUGUUAUAAAGUUCUCGGUUAACCAACAUGGUACAUUUUGAUGUAAUGAAUAAUGAACAAAUAUAUUAUGUAUUGUGUUUGAAUUUGGAGCUUUAGCGUUAUAUUUUCUUUUUCACUUCAUAUCUUAUUUUUAUGUUUGAUUUUAUCAUUGUGAAAUUUCAUUCACUUCACAACAAUUCAGACUGUGUGUUUUUCAAGGCUCCCUUGAGUUUCGUUUCCUGCCUUUCAUGAUUUACAUACAAAAUAAUAGCUGAUGGGAAAAAAACACAUAAUUUUCAGGGCUGUUUACACAAUAGUGAGGCUCAGAUCCAUUUUCAAGGGUUUGAUCAAUCCAACAACUCCACAAUAGCAUUGCAGAAUGUGGUGGUGAGCACCUCUGAUAUGAAUACCUUUUUGGAUUGCCAUCAGUUCACUUUAGAUGAAGGAUUCAACCAUGGGCUUUCUUUUGGUGCUAAUGACAAUAAAGAGUUUGGAAAGAGUGCUGAGAUCAACAACCUGCCCUUCUGCCCUCCCCCUUCAGCUUUCAUGGGGCCAAAAUGUGCACUCUGGGACUGCUCCAGGCCUGCUCAAGGAUAUGAAUGGUUUAAAGACUAUUGUAGUAGCUUUCAUGCUAAUCUGGCUUUGAACGAAGGUCCGCCUGGUAUGUCUCCAGUUUUGCGGCCUAGGGGCAUUGGAUUGAAGGAUAAUUUAUUGUUUGAUGCUCUUAGCACGAAAGCACAGGGUAAGAAUGUUGGUAUUCCUCAAUGUGAAGGAGCUGCUAGUACAAAAUGUCCGUGGAAUGCUGCUGGUAAGUCUCCAGGAUAAUUUCUCCUUUUUUACUUAAUUUUAUGAUUCAGUUUCCUUUUGACCUUAUAUAGCCAUUCUGCAGCAUGCUUGCCUCUAUCAAGCAAUGCAAUUCUUAAAUUCUCUUUCGCUGAACAAUUGAACAGUAUUUAAUUUGGUUUAGAUUCAUGUAUGGAAUCUGACACCUGGCGUGGUAAUUAGCACAGGACAGUACUUUCUGGUUAAUUAACUACCUCUCCUUAUUGCAGAGCUAUUUGAUCUUUCCUUGCUCGAUGGUGAAACAAUUAGAGAAUGGCUCUUUUUUGAUAAGCCUAGAAGGGCAUUUGAAAGUGGAAGUAGAAAGCAGAGAUCAUUGCCAGACUAUAGUGGUCGUGGUUGGCAUGAAUCCAGGAAGCAAGUGAUGAAGGAGUUUGGAGGCCAUAAGAGGUCCUAUUAUAUGGACCCACAGCCUCCUGGCUGCUAUGAAUGGCAUUUAUUUGAAUAUGAGAUGAACAACUACGAUGCCUGUGCAUUAUACAAGUUGGAACUCAAGCUUGUCAAUGAAAAGAAGACUCCCAAGGGAAAAGUUACCAAGGAUUCACUUGCUGAUCUGCAGAAAAAGAUGGGAAGGCUCACCGCCGAUACUACUCAAGAAAAUAGUCCCUCUACUAAGGGCAGGAUAGAGGCUGAUAAAACGGCGCAUACUGAAGAUGUUGAAUUUGCUCCGGAUCUUAAGACUUCCAAGGCUGGUUCCGGGGGCCAUGAUUAUGCAAAAAAUCCUCUUCCAAGUAAAUUUGGUUGACUACUGAUUCACUGCUUAAUGGAUCAAUUUUAUUUAAAUGUCGGAAUGAAUGGCAUUCUGUAACGAGAUAUGGCCAAUGACUUUGAUUCAAGAUUCUGCUGAUGAUUUAUUGAAAAUAGUAAGUAGCUAGUAUGGUUGAGUUCUCCUUUUUGUACAUCAAUGGCAGAACUUGCUCUGUUGUUGUCAUGUGGAGACAUCAUGUGGUGUAGUGUAAUCUGGAGGUUCCCUUGAAUUCUCUACAAGUGCUUCACUUUACAGUAUAGCUAGCUUCACUUCCAAUAGUUUUGGGAACAAUGGUGAAUAUCAGAAAUGGCAGCUGAAAGUGUAUAGUGGAAGAUACCAAUGAUAGAAAGGCAUAUUAGAAAUUAGAAUAUACUAUGCCUUUGAAUACCUGGUAUUACUUGUCUUAUAAAUUAAGAAAACAUUACUGGACCAGGAUUACUUUAUCUCGCUUAUUUUCGUGGUUACACAGAUUUCCUUAAAAUAAAUUGAACGAGGUACAGUAUCAUUGGUAUGCCCUGUAGCUAAUACAAAUUGGGUACUCCAAUCUUGAGAUCCAAUGUAAUAUAAAGAACUGCCCAAGUUGCCACAGGUCUUGAAAAUUGACCAAAGAAAAAAAAAAUAAAAAAGAAAAUUUCCAGCUUAACAGUUCUAUAGAUAAACAAGAAUUACAACAAUUGGGGUAAAUUUUUAUCCCCCAGGGUUUCUUAUUAAACUUGAGGCGCAUAGCUAUAAGCCGUAGACCCAAAAAGGAGGAGGGGGGGGGGGGGGGGGUGUAGGGAAAAAAACAACAAAAAAUUUAAAUAUUUUUUAUAUGAGANNNNNNNNNNNNNNNNNNNNNNNNNNNNNNNNNNNNNNNNNNNNNNNNNNNNNNNNNNNNNNNNNNNNNNNNNNNNNNNNNNNNNNNNNNNNNNNNNNNNNNNNNNNNNNNNNNNNNNNNNNNNNNNNNNNNNNNNNNNNNNNNNNNNNNNNNNNNNNNNNNNNNNNNNNNNNNNNNNNNNNNNNNNNNNNNNNNNNNNNNNNNNNNNNNNNNNNNNNNNNNNNNNNNNNNNNNNNNNNNNNNNNNNAAGGGGGGGGGGGGGGGGGGGGGGGGUGUGUAAGGAAGAACAGACCAGAACAUUUAACUAGUGUUUAACCGAGGACCAAGAAUUUGCAUCAAUCCAGUUAAAUGCUAUGGGGCUCAGAAAAGCAUCAGGAAUGCCGAACGAACUGACCAAGGCAAGUGCAUGCGGUCGCAAUUCACUGCAAAGCUUUGCCACUUCUUUCCUUACAGCAGCAGCACUUUCUGUUGAUAAGUAACCAUACCGAAGAAAUGCAGAAUCUUCUUCCAAACAGAUCAAGGCAUACAUUGAUCUCAACAGACCUAAGACAUUCUGCAAUAGAGAAAACAUACAAAUUCAACAACUAGUUUUUUCACCUGUAGAAAUAUCUUUUUUACUUCCAUAUUAACCAUACUCCUAGUCAUAUGAUAUUCUAAUUACAAUGCACCAUCUCAAUGAAAUGGACUGCAUAAGAAAAUGCUUCCAGAGCUUCAGAAACUAAAGCAUCAAACAGAUUUGCAUAAGAAGAUAAGAUCCAUAAGAGUUUCUAAUAUUUACCUUCAAUGAACCAGCAGAUACAGUCGUCUCAGCCUCAAUGAAAGUUUGCAAUAUCAAUCGGUCUGAGAAAGCUCUGCCCAGGUCUUCUGCAAGUUGAUAACUCUAGUGGUGGUGGGGGGGAGGGGGAGGGGGAGAGGGAAAGUGACAAUAAUUAGAGUCAAUGGGGACCAAGAGAAUGGUAAUUUUAGUACGAGUAAAGCAUCCUUACCAUAAUAAAUGCGCGCUCUUUGCUUUCCCCAUUUGCUUGAUGCUGUGAUACUUCAGCAGCAAAACGACUCAGAAGAUCACGUUCUCGUAAGCAGAAAGCAUUAAUCUGAUGUAGGUAACUGGUGAGAUACACAUUUAGCAAGGUUUGAUUUUGAAUGGCUCAUUAAAUUAUUAAUAGUAUCACCUGGAAUUGGCUGCUUCUGAGGAUGGCACUUGUCAGCUGAGAUGGGAUGACAGGACAAGGUCCAUUCAUGUGUUCUAAUCCAAAACCCUUAAAAGGUUUGUUUUUCUUCUGAGCUGCUAUGUAUUCUGCAAGGAGUGCCUUGCUGACCUGAGUUCAAGAAAUCCACAUGCCUUAGAUUAGAACUCUUAAAUAAGUACCUACAUGUAAGCUAAUUCAGAAUAUUAAAAAUUUACAAGUUUUGAUUUUCUUUUUUUUUUUUUCCGGUUGGCGGGCAUUUUCAACAUUAAAAGCAUAGUUAACUAAAAGAACAUGGACAUCUAAGACAAUCAAAUCAUCUAAAACUCCCAGUGUUUGUUGGUUUAUUUUUAUCCAAAUUCACUCCAUUAAAAAUUAUAAACCUCAUUAUCUUAUCAUUUUCACAUCAGUUUGCGCUAUAAAAUCUCUAGAAACUUCUUUGAAUUCAAAAUGAUUUCACUAAUGUCCUUACGACAUCCUACAUAUCCAAAUUUGACUUGGUGAGAGCAAUUGUUUGCCUUAGGAACAAGAUAAUUUGCAUGUUGCAAGAAAGCCUAAUAAGCUAACCAUAAGCUGCUGUGCUACUGAAAUACAAAUGCUCACUAUUGCUCGAUCUGAGAUGGGUCUAAUAGUGGAAAUUCAACAGCAACAAUCUAAAUUACAAGCCCCGAAGAAACAGUUGAACAAGCUAUCUAAAUUUGUAUCAAACUGCAUGUUCUAAAAAGAGAUAUACAAACCAAUCCAGUAUCAUAAAAAAAAUUAGUUAACAUUAUUCAGUAAGACAAAUGAACAAAUAAAUGUUUCACAAAGUAUAUGACAUGAUUAAGCAAUUUAUAUAAAAAGGAAGACUACAAGCUUUACCUGCUGCAUGAGAACAUUAUUGUCCCCCUCAAAGGUGGACUGAACAUCAAAUUCACUCUUCAAAUGACCAACUCGAUUCUCAGUCUUCAAGCCUUGUCCUCCACAAGCUUCACGGCAUUCCUAUGAAACAUAGAAUAUGUGAAAUUUAGCUUAGAAGCUUAUCAUAAACCUAGUUCUCCAUAUGUGGUAUUUAGCUCCUCACUUGAAGUGUUCUCAUAUCAUGCCAGGUCAAGGUAGCCUUGAAUGCACUUGAAACAACAUGAAGGGUUUUAUUUGUUUCUGGCGUCCUAUUCCAGUAUAUCAUUUUCAAAUAAUUUCCAGCAAAGCUCAUAGCAUAUCUGUGAUCAAGAAAUCGAUGUUUCAAAUGAGUUCAGUAGUAAUGCAUUCAAUUUUACAUAUUUAUUCACAGACUUACGUCUUUGCAAGAAGGGGCAAGAGUCGUCGUUGGUGACUCGGAUAAUCAAGUAAUAGGACUUCAGGUCCAUUCGGUGUAACAGAAAAUGCCUGCCUAGAUAAUGAAUACCUUAUGGCAGUUGCUAGACCUAUCUGGUAGGAGAAAAAAUAAAAUCAUAUUAGCCUAAAACACAUUUUGAAGUUAACAGCCAAAUCAUGACCACAUAGCAACGCAAAGUUCAUAUAUAAUGCAGAAGUCAACACCAUUGUUUCAUUUCAAUACCUUUGAUGAGUAAAUUGCACUAACAGCAAUGGUUACACGACCAGAUGUCAGAGGGGCAAGAAAUGCUGCAAAUCUCUGAGGAAAAAGAAGAUAAAAAGUUUGUCUUAAAAAUCACAGGAAGACCAUUUAAAUGAUUCACAAGAUAAGACAAGAUAAGGAUGGAAGAUGACAAAAAUGAUAAUGAAUGUAGAAAAUUUUAACAAGCCUACUUGAUCUGCGUCUUUAAUAGCACUAAGAUAUUGUCCAUCCGGUGAAACAUCAGCUACUGAAUUCAACAGAUUCUCUCUGGGGAUUCUCACAUUGUCAAACCUGAAAAACAUAUCUACAAAAUUGUUAUGGCAUUCAUUUAGAGAUAAAAUAAUCAUUAUCAACAUAAGGAUAGAUAAAUAAGUACCAGAUUCGACCAUUAUCAACACCAUUCAAACCAAUUUUAUGACCACAAUCAGCUAUUCGGAUGUUAGGCCAUAUGUUUCCAUCUGCAUCCCUGAUUUGGGCUAUGAAUGCAUGCACCCCUUCACUCAUCCCAUUUAUAUUGAGCUGUGAGAACACUAUGGUGUGCGUUGCAUGCUAAAUUACAGUAGCAGAGGGAAAAAAAACUAGUCAAUCAUAUAGAUUAUGCAAUAAAAAAACAACUAAAAAAUGGAGGACAAGGAAUUAAUAAAGUAACAAACUUGAUAACAUAGCUUUCUGCAAAAAUCCUUACAUUAGCAGCUCCACCAAUCCAAUACUUCUGAGCUGAUUCACAAGGAGUAUUGAUUACAAAUUCCCCUGUGUUCGAAUCAUAUAUAGUGACAGUUUCAAUUCCUCGGACCUGAAAACAUUAACCGAAGAAAAAAAGAUCAAGAAUAAAUGAAAUGGAAAAGAGAGCACAAGCAAUCAACAAAGGCCUGAUACUCCAGACCAUAAGAUUGACAACCUUCACGUACAUUACUUCCAUGCCCCAAUUCUGUCAUAGCAAAGCAACCUUUAAUUGCAUAAGUUUCGGUGUCCCUAAGCCACUUAUCGUGAUGUCUUUCUGUCCCAAAAAACUGGAUAGCACCGCCCCUAGAAUCCACAAACAAAUAUUAACUUUCUUUCUUAGCACAAAAAACCAAAAACCAAGUCUUGCGACUGUAGAUUUCAAAAUUUUGUUCAUUAAUCAUAUUUGUGACUGUAGACAGAGGAAUUAGACAUAAUAAUUACCCAUUUUAACCUUUUAAAUGCUAAAAUCAUUCAAUAAAUAAUAAAAUAGUAAAAUACACACCAUAAAAAGAAGUGAACACCGAGUUUAAUAGCGAGGGAGUGAUCAAACAUGCCAAUAACUUCAAACAAGGCCAUUUUUUUCAUUUCCGAUUCAAGACCUUUCCCUGUUAACCAACCAUCAAAAACCCCUCUUUCCAAUAGAUACGCCACCCGUCUCAUCGUUAUUUCUCUCUGCUGUUCCAUGGACUGGUUAUAAUCCGGCGCCACAUACACUCUCCCUCCCUUCUCUCGCGGAUUAAACACCUUGCUCUGCCUCAUUAACCCAAACAACCAAUCCCUGUCAUCGAUAUUGUGCAUAUCCAGCAAUUUCCGCAUCUCAUUUGGAUCAAAAUCGCAUCUUUCAUGAAGCUCCGGUGGAGAAUAACUGACACAGGCAUUCGAUUCGAGAGAAGAAAUGGAUUGAGAAGAAGAGCUAAGGAGAUGGUUGGUAAGGAUUCGAGUACGAAUCAAGGCGCGAUCGGUAGAGGAUUGAGAAGCCAUGUUUCGGGGAAAAAGAAGGAGAAGUUUUUAGAAUAAGGGUUUUUGGUUUUGAUGAUUUCUCCGAACAAAUUGGAUAUUGCUAAGAAGAUGAAGAAGAAGAAGAAGAAAAGCGUGUGUGAAAAGGGAAAGAUUUUGGUAAAUUUAAAUGCGGAGUAGAUUUUGGAAUUACGAGCGCGCGAGUUAGACGUCAGCAAGCAUGGUGUUAGUUGACGGGGAGGUGAGACCACGCUCAGUUACGUUUAGGAUGUCUCUUGAUGUUAGCGCCCAUUAUCCACUCAUCUUAUCCUUUCCUUUUUUUUUAUUUUAAGAAAACUAAAAACAUGAAUUAUCUUUUUUUUUUUUUCUUUAUUUCAAAUAGAGAAUUACUUAUUUGAUAACCAGAAAUAAAAUCUUAUUUCUAAAAAAAAUCUAGAAAAAUGGAAUAGGGUAUAUCAGUAUUGCUAGCAAGAAAAAAAAUAAACUAAGAUAAAAUAAAAUAAUAUUUCUCUUUUUUAAUAAAAUAAAUAAAAAGAUAAAACUAAAACACUAACAAACAGUACAAAAAGUUUCGUCUCAUGGACGAAUUGUUAAGAUAAGACCGUACUCAUAAUUGAAUUGAUGUAUCCUAAUUUCUUAACAUAGCAUUGUGAUUACAUAGGAUGCUAUGAAAUUUGUUUGAAAACAAAUAGUGAAAAGAAAAUUAAAAUUCAUGUAUCAGUCACUUUCAUAAAUUAUUGAUUUAUAGAACAUUAGAUAGAUAUUUAUAUGUUUCUCCUCCUUUUUAUUUUUUUUUUCUUUUUUAAAUUUCACAAUGAGAAAAAUAAUGCAAUUUGAUAAAGUAUUUCUUAGAAUAUUAUAAAUUUAAAAUAAUUUAAAAUUACAAUGUAAAUCACAUAUAUAUAUACGAUCCGGCAUAUACUGUAAGCUCACAUAGACUGCAGGGAAAGAGUUUCGGCCAAGCUUAAUUUUUUUAUGAAAAAUUAAUUUUUUUUUCAAUAAUAAAUUAAUCAUAUUAAAAACAUAUAUUAGGUUUUUAAAAAAUUAAUGAGCAAGAUUACCCAAAAUUUGACCAAUACAUAAUUUGAAAAUCCUCUAAGUUAUAAUCAUGGCAACGCAAAAAAAAAAAAAAAAAUUGAACCUUCAGAUUUGUAAAUUCAUCACGAGGCCCAAAGGGAAGCGACUGGUUGGCAGGUAUAGAGAGAGAAGACAGAGGGUGCCAAGGAAGAAGAAGAAGAAGAAAAAGAGGAGCAGCUAAAAAAAAAAAAAAAAUGGAGCUUCGAUUCAGAUUGAAAACUAUAUUUAAUGGAAGAAGAACAUCAUGAUCCCCUCAGGUACUUUCGAUAUCUACAUGCUCUGCUCCCUUUUUUUUUUUCUAUACUUGCCGCGUCAAUUACUCUUUCACCUUCCUUUCUUCUCUUUUUCCCCUUCUUUAACUCUCUCUCUCUUCGCCAUUGCCACCGGCUUCAACUUGCGCAUCUAUUACGGCUUCCUCGUUUUAUAUCUAUUGAGUUAGGGUUUGAUCGGUGAAUUAAGUCCUCCAUUUUCAUGUUUUUGCCAAACAACCCCUCUUUUUAAAAAUUUUGCACUAAUGUUCUGUCUUCUAUCUUUUUUUUAUUAUUCUUUUUCUUUUUCUAUUAAACUUGUCGAUGUAAAUUUGGAAAUAUAUUUGUUAAGCUGCUGUGCUAAAAUUGGUUUCUGUCAUUUCUUUUUUAAAUCAUUUUGUCCAAAAUUUAUCUUCUAUUUUGAGAAAAUAAAAAGUAUUAAUUAGUUUUAUUUUAAUUUAUCCUUAUCUUUCUACUUAAUAUAUUAAUUAUAUUUUACAAUUUUCUAAAAUUAUUAUAUCUUUCUUCAUUUUAUUAAUUUUCAUGAAAAUAAUUUUUUAUCACUUUCCUUUUUCAUAAAGGUAAUUUAGUCACAUUAAAAGUAUUUCGUUAUAAUUCAUAUAAUUUAAUUAUUUUCCUUAUUAUCAUCAUUCACAUUAAAUUUUAAUUUCAAGCUUAUUUUUUAUGGUGAAAAUUUUCUUGUAGAAACUAAAUUUGAAAAUUCAUUUUCAUUUAAAAUAAGUUGAAUUUAUUUAUGGUUUUCCAAGAAAAAAGUUUCUACUUUGCCUUUAAAAAUCUCCCCAUUUUACAUAUAAUUUCUUAUGUGAAUUUUAAAUAUAAUUUGAAUAAAAAAUAUGUAAAUUAAUUUCACCGUUGACAUUUUUUGGAUGCAUAUAGUCAUAAUAACGAUGUUGUUAAUGCAGCUUAUCUGUGGCAGUUCUUGAGCAAGGAGUAUAUUUAUUUGAUCAUAAAUUUCUUAUGCUUCUACUUCAUCCAAUUUCGCAUCCUCAUGCAUAUAACUUGUUCAAUUUGCUACAGGAAAAACCCCCAAGAAUCCAAGGUUUUGCUAUGGAAUUCCAGUCAGAUGAUCAGGCAUGGUAUGAUGUUAAGGUUUCAAGGAAUGAUGAUAUACUGACUGUAAAAUAUGUUAAUUUUUCAGAAGAGUUCAAUGAAACAUUUCAUGUGGGGAAGUUCAAGACCAUAGACAAAGUGAAUGAUUUCAAGAGAAGGUUUAGGCAAAGCAGUGUCCAAUUGCAAGAUCAAGACUGCCAUAAAAUUUUUCAAGGUAAAACAGUUUGUGCAUCAUAUAAUUUCAAUAAUGGCGAAGUUAAGUUUUUUGAUGCUAUGGUUGUUGAAGUGUUAAAUGAGAAGCAUAAGGUUGGUGAAGAAGAAGAAGAGUGUUCUUGUACUUAUGUGCUUAAAUGGCAUGAUGGCUCACUUGAGGGAGAGAGGACAUUUGCCAAGAUUAGUGAUAUUUGCCUUACUCCACCUGGUAACCGAGUCGAUCCAUCACUAGCUGCUUUCUUGAAGAUUGCAAUGGAGAGAAUUGAUAAGGGUUCUCUAAGGUGUGAAGUUGCAGGUCACGAAGAACCUAAUACUGCUUCUCUUGAAAGCAACCCAGUUUUGAACAUUGAAGCAUACUUCAUGAAACUGAGGAGACAAAGAAAGAAUAGAUUUGCAGUUAGGACGACGGAGGGAAGGGUUAAUGGCCGGUGUAAGAGGUUUCAAAAAAAGCAAAUAGUGGAUAAAUUAGGGUUCAUCAUGUAAUGUAAUGUUCUGUUUUGGUAUAUGUUAGUUUUUUUCUUGUGUUACUUUCCAAACAACUCGUAUUGAUGAGACUAUCAUUUCAGUUGCAUAAAUCCCUUUUCUGUCUUUAUAUUAAUGUCAGGCAAUACAAUAACGCAUCCAAGAGAAAUAGCAGAAGACAAAAAAUUAAUCAAUCAAUCAAGUAAAAACACCAUUAUCUUAACAAGAUUCCCAAUCUCUGCAAAUAAGGCUAACCUAGAGGGUUACAAUAUUCCAAGGAAACAAACAUACAAAAGAAUAACAAUUCAAAGGAACAAAUUUGAUAAUAUCUUGGAUCCAAACCUCUAAGUGGUCUCUCAGCUUUAAAACAGUUUGCUAAUCUCAAAGCAUGCCAUCAAAUUACAGAUGCCUUGACAGCAUUCCAGGUGGUUUCUGUUUGGACAUGUUUGAGAGAGAGAAAGGCAUCUUCAAACCACUGAAAUGCAAAUCUUUGAAAGGAGAAACUACUGACACCAAGACUUCAUUUAAUAUAUUCUAACUAAUAACUAAGCUGAGCAGCAUCCAACUUUUUUCACAGCUGAUACAUCAUCUUUGCCAACAUUAAUAGUUUGUCCCUUGGGCAAGGCUGCAGGGUCGUCCCCGACCUCAAGAGCCUUCCGGCUAACAACAUGAUAGAUCUGAGUUAAUACUUCAGUAAAGGCAUUUUCAACAUUCAAGGACUCUAGCGCAGAAGUUUCCAUAAAAAAGGUUUUUUCUUUCUCAGCAAAUGCCUUAGCAUCCUCAGUUGUAACUGCUCGUAAGUGGCGCAAAUCUGCCUUGUUCCCCACAAGCAUAAUAACAAUAUUGGAAUCGGUAUGAUCUCGAAGCUCCUUCAACCAUCUCUCCACAUUCUCAAAGGUGACAUGUCGAGUCACAUCAUAGACAAGCAAGGCACCAACAGCUCCUCUAUAGUAUGCACUAGUGAUUGCACGGUAUCUGAAAAAUAAUAUGCUAGGAUGAAAAUCUAUUUUGCCAAAUUAAUAUGAUAAAUAGAAAAUUAUUCUGCCCAAUCAAACUAAUAACAAUGACUGGAAAGCCAAAAAAAAAAAAGCAAUCAUUUUCAGACACUUGAAGAAGAUAAGGUUCAAUAAUCUCGGUAAAUGACAUGCAGUGCAUUAAAGCAACACAAGUUGUGCGAAAACAGAUACAAAUAAUUUUCUCUCCACAAAUUGUGCAAAGGCAACAAUAUAGACCCACAGAGCAUUCCUGGGAGGACGGGUUAAUGUCCUGGAAUUGUUGCAAAAUGGAGGCAAGAUGAGAACAAAUCAGACAUCAGAUAAUGGAACUUAACUUGUUUUCUUCUCAUUAUCUUCUGCACUACCAAAUCCGAGAAUUACUCAGAACACACAAGUUUAGCAUAAACUAUAAAUCCAAGCAGCAUUAGUUCAAGCCAAUACAACUAACAUCUCAGGUUACUAUGAAAACCUUUAUAGACUUGUUUUUGCCAAGUAAGAAAUGAAAACAGAUGAAAAAUCAUACAGGAGCAGGCCAAAGACUGAAAAGUCAGAGUCCUGUUCAUGUUACCAAAUGGGAAUCACUAUUAAGAAAACCAUACAAGAAUUAACCCUUCCCAGCUGCCGCAAGUCCUUUCUCAUCAUCAGUCAUUGACAUGGGCCAUAUACUUGUCCAAAUCUUGAUGGAACUAAUUUUUCAAUCAAAUAUUUGAAAACCUUACCUUUUUUAUUUUUUAUUUUAUAUUAUUUUUUGUUUAUUUAUUUUUGCACAUUGAAGAAAGCAACGAAUUCUUGCUGCUGUUAUUGCCUUGAGAAGAUUAACAUUGGAUCCACCGACCCAAGUAAGAAAUUAUGUAAAAAUAUAAGAAAUGAGAGGGAACUAUGGCUGUCAUCAACAUUUAACACAGAUCAACCCAGGCAAACUCCAAAUCAGUAAAUAGGCAACUUGGGCACUUGCCUUUAUGUUUUUUGGCAGGUGGGACUCACAUGAAACCUUUCAGGGUCCAUUAUUGGCAUUAAAACCUCGUCAGACCCUCCACGUGUAUGCAAUGAAGCCAAAAACAUACAUACGGAAGGAUCAAACUAAGCUUUAUUGUUCAGAGGCAUCAAAUUGAACUAAUAGUUAAUUACCAAAUCAAAUGAGCAGCCACUAAAAAAGAGAAGUAAAUUCAUAAGCGUCAAGAGCUACAUAUCUAACAGAUAACUUGAUCCCAAAAUAAAUCAAUAAAAAUGUCAUCUUCUCACGUUCUUCCAGCUCGAAUAAGCAACAGAGUUAUCAUGGAAAAAAAUUAGGACAAAAAAAAUCCCAAAAUGCAAGAAGGAAUGGUAUUCUAUAGCUCUAAGAACUUUAAUGUACAGAUCUAAAAUAUUAAGCAAGAAAAGAGCUAAUACAGUGUGCUCUCUGUAUCUGUUGAACAGAAACAAACCCCAUAUAGCAGAAUCUGAAAUAAGUCGGUUUGGAAUUUAAAAUUGAAGUAAAAAUUAUACCUUUCCUGACCAGCGGUGUCCCAAAUCUGGGCCUUGACGACCUUGUCGUCGACAUGGAUGCUUCGGGUGGCGAAUUCAACACCUAUGGUAGAUUUAGAUUCAAGACAGAAUUCAUUUCUCGUAAAUCUUGAUAAAAGAUUUGAUUUUCCAACGCCGGAAUCACCAAUAAGUACCACCUUGAAUAAGUAGUCAUAAUCAUCGUCUGCCCUGUAAGCCCCCAUUAAACUAAAUUCCCUCUCUUUCUUUGAGUUUUGAAUUGAAAGAAAAUAUAGGUUUUGAAAAUGAAGAUCAAAUGAUCUUUUAUGUUAAGCUAACGGAAGAUGGGAAAUGUGGGCUUUUGGAAAUAAAAGAUCAAAAUGAAAUGGGUUGGACUUAGUUUCUCGAUAUAUAGCUAUGGAAACUGGAUCUCUCUAUCUACCAGAAAAUACUGUUGAUGUUUAAAUUUAAAAAUCUUGACAUUGUUUACUUUAUCUUAGAGAGGGAGAGAGAGAGAGAGAGAGAGAGUGGGCGCCGCUUGUGAUUUGCAUAGAAAGGAGAGCUUGGAAUUGCAAGACAGAGGGAGAGAGAGGGCUUUUCAAGUUAUAACAAUAAUACUAAUACUAUAUUCUUACUAAUAAAAUGGUUUUAAAAUUUUAUUUUAUUUUCAUGCUCAAAGUUCAAAAUUUUAAAAAUAUUUUUUUUAAUUACUAAAAUAUUAGUUAGAUCCAUGGGAAUUGAGAGAGAGAAUUUAAACAUUGCGCAGACUUAUCAAUUCUUUUAAUGUAACCGAGGAAAAAUAAACCACAGUCAGUUCAUAUAAUUGAUAAAUUUUAUAAUGAUCUCAAUUUUACCGUUUUACAAAACAAAAAUGUCUAUUUUAUAAUUAUCCUAUUUUUACCAAAUAAUUAGAUUAUAAAUGAAAUUAUAAGCGUUGAUAUAUUAGUGGUUUUAUUAGCUGAUUAAACCGUUGGCUAAACGUUAAAUAUUACUAGAAAAGAAAAUAUAUUUUUUCUUAUGAUUUAUCUCUAAAAUUAAAAAUAAAUUAACAAAAUGGAAAAUGGACCUACUUUAUUACGCAAACUACCCCAAUUUAAGUUAUUUAAUUAUUUACUUAAUUGCAGCAUUAUGUAAAACAGCUAGGAUCUCCAAAUUGUGUAUGCAAUGGCAAUUUAGACCAGCCUUUCCAACACUUUGUUGAAUUAGGAGAACUAAAACGCACUCCAAUGCAUAAUCUAGUAAUAAAUGUAUAUAAGAACUGACAAUAGAUCUAUGCUCGAUUACCUCUUCUCCAACACUCAAAAAAAAAAAAAAAAAAAAGGAAAAAAAAAACAUAUUGUUCUCAUCAAGACAACUACAUUUGAAUUUGAUGAAGUCAUGUCUGAGAUCGGCAGGAAUAUGAUAGAAUCAACAAUGUUGACGAAGAGACUUAUAAAAUAAAUUAAUUAAAAAUUAGAAAAGCUGGUUGGCCUGAAAGGAUAGUUUCAUUCUCACAGAAGAAAAGCCGCUUUGAAUUGUUCUUAUUUGUUUUGGAGUUGCACUCUUCUUGGAAUAUUCUUAAUUAACGGCUCAAGUUCUGAACUUUUCUUGUGUUUUACAAUUCCUUCUGGAAUUCUGAUGUUAACAAUCAAGGAAUGGAUCUUGCUUUUCAUUUUUCAUCGUUGACAAGAUCGUCAAUACACCCAUCUACUGUUACAGAAUUAAACAAAUGAAAUAAAAACAAUUCAAAACGGCUUUUCUUCUGUGAAACUCCAUUGAUUGUUGACUACAAUCCAUCGUUUCAAUUUGGUUUGAGGAAAGAAUAAAUUCCAUUGAUCUUUUAGUAAGCUAUGUAGCCAGUAGAAUGGCUUUCUGAUUGCUGAACAUGAAAAAUCAAUAUUGGGUUUACAUAUCAAUGAGGAUAGUUUUAUUGUGCAUUAUUGUUUAAUUGAAUUUGACAAAGAAUACUUUCUUCAGUAUUGUGUAAAAUAUACCUAUAUUUAGGUUAACUGCUCCGCAGAAUUCAAGAAUUGAGAGGUAUAAGUUACAGAGUUGUGUUCGAUUGAUUUCAUUCCUUCGGCCUCUUACUCAUGGCUUUGCGCUUAUUGACAUCCAGGUAUCUUUUUCUCAAACGAAUGGCCUUAGGCGUAACCUGCGUGAAAAUGGUAUCAGACACUGCAGUAAGCCAAGAAUAUGGCAAUGUAGUAGUAUACAUCUCUGGUUGCAAGAAAUUUCAAGCUCCACUGCUGAAAUAUGUUUGAUAAAAUAUUAACUCCACAGAAAUUCAAUAAAACGGCCUUAAAUAUUUUGGAACACAAUCAAAUAGGCCAAUAGGUAGUACUAUAAACCAGAAAUGGAAAUGCAACAAUGUUUAGUGAAGCUCACCUCAAUAAGCUCAUCGGAAGCAACAUAGCCAAUGGCUUCUUCAAGAGUCAUCUGCAAAUGGUUGCAUUACAGUUAGCAAUUUCUUGAACGUAUAUUUUUAGUGUUUUUUGUUCAACAGAUAUUGAAAUAGUUAAUAACUCUUUUAGUUGUUUAUAAUUACUUGAAUAUCAUCUUAUUUUUCCCAUGCAUUAAUUCUUUGAAUUACCGUUCAUUUGCAACUAUUUUGUUCUCAUUUUCUCUGGGUAUAUACAAAUAUACAAUCCGUGCAAAUUGGGUUAUUCCCUUUCAUGUUUUUAUUUAUGUUCAUAUAUCAUUUAUCAAGAGAUUAGGAGCGAAUAAGUUGUGAAUCGCACUUUGAAAGUAGUAUUAUGUCACAUGCUUUAUGUCAUUUGUCCAAGGAUUGGCAACAUUUAACCUUAAGAAUAGAAACAAUCAAUAAAACUGCAAAAUCUGGGCAUUUCAUACCAAUCGAGGUGGAGAUAGUUUCACAUUCUCAUCUUUGCCAGCAGCACGCAUGUUAGAGAGCUCCUUAGCCCUAACCGGGUUGAUCUGUGAAAAAGAAAAAAUUUUGAAGUCAUUCAUCUUGAAAUGAUACAAUGCCAAGCGCAAGAGACAUAAAUCCUUACAUCGAGAUCUGUAUCACGCGAAUGUUCACCCACAAUCAUGCCAUCAUAUGUCUGCAAAAGAACAAAAAGUGAGCAGGUAGUUUUUCAAAUUCCUUCAGAACAAAUAGCCUUCAAUUCAAGAACUGGGCUGACACACUAAUUGGCCCCAAAAAGUGAAGAGAUGGCACAUCAUUUCUUAGCACCUGCUAUGUAUUUUCCAUCAUCUCAAAAAUAAGUGGGAGAAUGUUCAUGCAAAUCCUGCAUCAAUAUCACUGCUGUAUGGAGGAAUUAAAAGAUAAUAGAUUGGCAACAACAAAGAGUUUUCAUGAACAAGAUAUCGCCCCAACAACCAUAUAGAGGUGUCACCGAUCAAUUAAUAUAUAUACUACAUGGUUAUGAAAAAAUAUAUAUGUACAAAUUUAGAAUUUGAAGAUUAACUGAAAAUGCUCCAUUAGAAUUCAUUGCUUAAGCGUGCCGAGAAAAUGUAAAGAAUUUCUUCACAACUAUACAAAUUCAAGGCAUGGAAGAAGUGAACAGAAGCAGAAAGACAAUAAGUCAAGAAAGAACCUCCAUUCCAGGAGUAACAAAGAGUGUUCCACGAGCUUCCAAACUCAUUAAUGCAUAAGCUGUGACUGUACCAUAGCCCAUUGAUACCUGUUCAAUUGCAUAAUGCAAGUUCAAUUAGAUCCAAGAAAUAAAACUUGCAUUAGUCAGUACACAUCCAAGCAAAUAAUUCAAUUACAAGAGCAAAUCAUAUAAAUUUCGCUAACAAAUGGUUCUUUCAAAGAGGGGAAAGAAAUAUUAGAAGGGUAGAGCAAAAGAAUAAUGAUUCUAAUGCAACAAUCAGUCAAAUUGUUUGCAGCAAAUUAAUCUCUCUUACCUUCCAUCUCUUCUUUGCCAAUAGUCGCAACCAAUUCUAUUGAAUAUAUCCCAAGAUCCAAAGGGUUUAUUAGAUAUAAUCCUAGUAUCCUAGUCAAACCUAAAUUCAGGUAAAGGCUACUGUAGACUCAUAAAGCUCAGAUGAGAAUUUAUUGCCCCAUUGCAGUGGGUCCUACAGAUACAAAUUCGAUCAGAUCAGCUCUGGGUAAAGCCCUAUCCUUGAAUUGAGGUAAACAAAACAAGAGCUUCAAAUUGAACCACAGAAAACUCAAAGAAAAUAAUUCAUUUUCAAAUAUGACAAAUAUUUGGUCUGCUCUUAUAGAAAAUAACUGAAAAGAACAACUAGUAUUAGUUCAAUCGUGAGGAAAUGAUGUGCAUGUAAAACAUACCAAUACUCCCUUCCUAACAUUUCCAAGUGGGCCCCGAUAUUUUUCAUAGGCUGCAAAACAAAAGAAUAAAUUGUGUGAGCAAAAUACUUUGUCAAGAGUUGGUUGUUGGAGCAAGGUUGACCUACACAAUCACUGGAGAAACUGAACACAAAACAUAAAUGGAGCAUCUACUACUUAGAAAUUUUGCACAGAACCUACCAAUUCAUACAUUGAGUAAUAUAAAUGGGAACCUUAAUUAUAUUGAAAUUUGAUCCUUCCCUACAUUUUCGAUCAAACUAACAUAAGACAUCCCAAAAAUAGAAUAUUGAAUCCAACUUGGUAUACAAACAAUUACCAUGUCACACAAGUUCAUAUUGCCAAAAAGAAAGUCAAAUACUACUUAAAGAAAUCUAGAAAAUAAAAAAUUCCAAAAGAAAGAGAAUGACAACAAGAUUGUCGUGAGUGAAGAAUUUAUACUCAGGAAAGCUCGAUGCAUAAAUCCAGUUCCACGUGUAUCACUGCUGAACACACUCCUAUAACCAACCAGGCCCCUGAAAUAUAUGACAAAAAAGGACCAGUUCUGGUAAAAUGGCUAAUUAAGAAUAAACAGGAAAGGAAUAUUCAAAUAGAAUUGAUAAAAUAUAUACAAUUUUUUAUGAUGAAUACAUUACCCAGGAUACAACAAAUAUGCAUGUAACUACGCAAACAUAAUUUGGGCAGUUAUGCACUGACCUUGAUGGACAAGUCAAAGCCAAUCUAGUCCUACCCAGAUGUCCAGGCACUGGGCCCAUAUCAAGAACUUCAGCACGUCUGUGAGAUAGAGCUUCCAUAACUAAUCCCACAUGCUCUUCAUUUAUCUGAAAUAAAAAAUAUUAUGAAUAAACCAAAGUUCCUAUGAGCAAAAAACCAGUGCAUUCAAAAUUUUGAAAUUCUUACCUCAAUGGUUACUUCUUCAAUUGGUUCAAGCUUCUGGCCAUUCUGUGUUUUAUACCUGAUUCAAUAAUGUAACAUUGCUCAAGAUGCAAAAACCAAGUGCAUAUGCUUGUUUGCUUACAUGCUAAGUAUCUCACACAGGACUUACAUGACUUUAGGUGGUGAUACAGACAGCUCAAACCCUUCCCGCCUCAUAUUCUCUAUCAAAAUACCUGAUAUUAAAGCAUCGGAAAUUACACUCAGCAGUUACAGUACUUCAAGUUGAGUUGUAGAAGGAAGGACGUAUUAUUACGAAUCUAUGCUUUACAUUGAAUAAAACAUAUAAGCUGUAGCACUAGGUUAAGAGGGACUAACCGAGUUGAAGUUCCCCUCUCCCUUGAACUUCAUAUGAUUCUGACAAACCAGGAAUGACAUUUAUGGCAAGGUUAGUUUCAGCUUCAGCCAUUAAACGAUCACCAAUUUUUCCUCCAGUCAACUAUAGACAUACAGAAGAACACCAUUACCUCACAUACAAUAGCCAAAAAUGAAAAACACAUAUAUAAAAAGUAUUUUCUAAUGUGUUAAACAAUGUGGAAUUAGGGAAAAUAAGUUGUCAGGCAGUUCGACUUACGUGGGUACCAUCUCGGCCAGCUAGUGGAGAAUCGUUUACACCAAAGGUCAUGGAAAUGGUUGGAGGGUCCAACUCAACAGUCGGUAAUGCAGUCAUCACCUAGAGAUAUAUAAUACUUCACUUUAGAAUAUGACCCCACAACUUGAGAUAUCAAUCAACAUGCUACCAAGAAUUAUGUAUCACCAGGAAAACUGUAACAGACACAUCAAGAACAUAUUGUAGACAUAACCAAGAAGAAAGAACAUAUAAAUAAUCAUACACUAUAUUAAAUGCCUUAGCUGAAAUUGCAAAUCCUAUGGUGGUAGAAGCGACAGAGUAAAAGGCUAACACUCAAUCAAUGUGAUUAAUUGGAUAAAGGUUACAUCACUAGAUUGAUUUCAAGGCUGAUUUACAUUCUACACACUAGAGCCAAAAGAACAAGUUACAUCCAUCGAUGCCCACUUCUUUUGAAACAAAGCACUACACAUACUAUUAGCAAUAUGGUAAAUUUUAUUUAGAUCCUCAAUAGACACCUGCAAGAACAUGUGCUUCAGCCUUCAGAUUUUAGCCACCAACACAUUCACAAGUACUAAUUGGAAGACCUGUAACUGGCCAGUUCACCAGAAAUUACAACUGGGGACAAUGUCUCCAAGCAUCAUUAAGAUCAAAAUUUAUUCGCAGGAUCCAUGGAUCAUGCUCAUUUUCAAACAUCGGUGCUUCAUCAGGAAUACCCACUGGAAAAAGAGAGAGAGAGAGAGAGAGAGAGAGAGAGAGAGAGGGGACAAUGCAUUUGUAACUGCAAAAAGGAAAAAGUCUUCAAAACUCACAAAGCAAAGUAUCAUUGGCACUUUGGCGGUAGGUAUAUAGUCAAGAAAAUCUGUAAGAACUGUAUAACCAUAUAAAGUACCUACAGAGUUCUACUUGAUAAUACUGAUCAGAAUGAAAGCAGCAAGUGAUUUCAAUCUUAGUAUAUGCAAAGCCAUUAGUAAGCUACACACAAUUUUUUAAAAAAAGCACAACAUAAUUUUUCUACAGAAAGCAUGGAAUCAAAGAAUUCUGGGAAAGAAUACACCAGGGAUAUUCAAUAAAUUUCCAAGAAAAGAUAAGUGCAAUGCCUGAGAUAAAAGAAAACAUCCUAUUUACUCUUGAAAACAAAUACAACCAUAUACCUCCACAUUUGCCAAUGUAUGGCCUAUUGAUGGAAUUGCCAUACCAGCCAUUGAUAUAAUGUCACCAGCUCCAGCACUAUCGAUGAGAACUGUGUUUGUACCCUUCUUCUUCAUUAGCUUCAUAACCUACAAGAUAAAAGAUGAACAUGUUAACGGUACAAUCAAAUUUCCAGUUGCAGAAGGUUCAGGCAUCUCACAUAUAAAACUGGUUCAAGAAUUGUCUCAAUAUAACUGCUUUUACCGAAUCCUCAUGCUUUGCACAAGAGAUGAAAUAGCAUUCUACUGAAAAGAAGUAAGACUUGUAAAGUCCUUCCUAACAUUGUAUGUAAUUGAAAGGUGAUCAGAAACAAAAGGAAACUUAAAAUACAGAUGUUUGUAUUUGGGGUUCCUAAUGCUUGAUAUAAGAAGUCAAGACAUAAAUAAUAUGGGAACCAGUUGAAGCAAAAAAUAAAUAAAAAGUCAUCACAUUCAAAUGUUUGGUACUAAUAAAAAACCCUUCAUCAUUGACAUUCUGAUAGAAUAAAUAAAUUGCUUCCUUUGCCCUUUCCAUCAACGUUGUAGACUACUGCAAACUAUAUUAAUUGGGUUCUCCCUUGUCUUGUCUAGUUCAAAAAUUAACUGAAAACAAACUAGGAGACAAUGGAACUGCCAAGGAUGACGUUUUGGUCACAAUAUAUCAGCUACAGGCUGCAGCUAAUGCUGAAUAGGCAUUUUUCUCAAAAUGAGAGUUAUGGAGACAUGGAACGAUAUUAUUUAUCAUUGCAUUGGCUACUUUAUUCAGCAAAGCAGUACACUUCAUGAACUUUACAAGAAUAAUAAGGCUAAAACAAAGGUGAUACAAGAGUAGGAACAUAAUGUAAUAAUACAGACAUGGAGGAAAAGGAAAAUUUUCACUAACAGUUAAGGGAGAAAAUUUUAUUUUUAAAAUUUUAGAGUUCUCAAUAUUUAUGAUAUCACAGGAAGUGAAGCUUUUAGUUCAGAUCUAAAUACCAAGCUGCAACCUAACACCAGAUAGAAUCAGGGUGAAUGAAGCAUGAAUGAUUUCCAUAUUGAAUCCUUCAAUUUAGCAAAGCAGGAAGGUCCUGAAAAUGAAAUUCAAGGCAUUGUUUCAAUAUCAUAGCAUGUACGAUACUAACCUUUCCCUCUUCAAUUUUCACAACCCCUGAAUCUGUGGAACGUAGUCCAUGCACCCUGUCCCCAACACGAAGGACUCCAGAAGCAACACGUCCGGUUAAUAUCCGCCCAAGAUAGAAGUCUUUUUCCAUCAUGGAAACCUGAAAAGCAACAGUGAAAAAGAGAACAAUAACUACCAUAUAUAUAUUCCAGUCAACUAUAGACAUNNNNNNNNNNNNNNNNNNNNNNNNNNNNNNNNNNNNNNNNNNNNNNNNNNNNNNNNNNNNNNNNNNNNNNNNNNNNNNNNNNNNNNNNNNNNNNNNNNNNNNNNNNNNNNNNNNNNNNNNNNNNNNNNNNNNNNCAUAUAUAUAUAUAUAUAUAUAUAUAUAUAUAUAUAUAUAUAUAUAUAUAUUACGUGACCAUGCCAUGCUCACACGAUGUGUACAUAUUCAAGACAUAAACACACAUGAUUAAACAUUCCACUGGAACCGACAGUGUGUAAUACUAACCAGCAUCUGAAAAGGAGCAUCAAGGCUUGCUUUUGGUGGUGGAACAUGCCUUAUGAUAGCAUCAAGCAACUGUGACAUAUUCUUUGCAUCAGUAGGAGGAUCUUUAGUGAAGGUGGAAGAUGCCCAGCCCUCUUUAGCGGAAGCAUAAAGAACAGGAAAAUCCAGCUGUUCCUCUAAAUCAAGAAUAGCAUAGGUUAUAUACCUCAGAGUUUAUAUCCAGUUAAUAAAGCAUGUAAAUAACUGUGAAGGAAAUCAAAUAAUGGAGGGUUCAAAUUCCUAUCUUUAUUUCACCUGUAGCACCCAGAUUGGCAAAUAGAUCAAACACAAGGCUCUCAACUUCAUCACACCUCUCCUCAGAAACUGCAUGAAUGAUGAGGAAGCACAUGAGGACCAUUUCCAUAUCCCAAAUUUUACUGGAGAGAAUUUCAAUAUUCUAUAGGAAUGUAAGUAACGAGGAAGUGAAGCAAAAGUAACUACACCAAAUUGGAAUAGACUCCUUCAUGGCUUAAAAUUAUUUCACGCUCAAAAUGUUCUGAAAACUCAAAUGUAUUGACAAAUAGCUGCUCCAAACAGUAACACCAAAUAACAUACAGGAUUUCAAAUUCGAAGUUGGAGGAAAAUGGACAUAGUAAGCCAUGGAAAUAUAGAGACUCAUAAUGUAGAAAUACCAUGUAAAGCCAAAUACAUGAGUAUGACAAAUGACAACAUGGAAAAUAAAAGUUGUAUAUAGCAUGAAACUUCAAUUUCCAUUUUAUACUUUUUGCUUAAUGUUUCAGCUUCCACCAUAGAUCAUGUAAUUGGAUAGUAAUUUACUUUCCAGUUUCCACAAAGAAUAUACAGAAAGUAUGAAUUAGUAAUGUAAUAAUACCUGCAGGCCGAUCUACUUUGUUUAAAAGUAGAAUUGGGCGAAGCCCAUACUUCAAUGCUUUAGCAAGAACAAACUUUGUCUGGGCAAGUGGGCCUUCACCAGCAUCUACAACUAAAAUUGCACCUUCAACCAUGCCAACAACUCGCUCAACCUACGAUUCUCAAAACAAAAUUGCACAAGGAUCAACACCCUGAACCCAAACUGAUUUGCAAAUAUCAAACUAAUUCCUAAGAGACAAGCAAAGCUGAGCUUCUGACUCACAGUAAAUUACUAAUGAAAAAUAACCACUUCUACCACUAGAACAACUAACACUUGGUCCAUAAUUUCUUUUUAACCUCAGUUAGACCGUGCCUUAGGACUUUUACUACACAAUUUCUACCAUAUGUCAAAUAUACAUGUUGAUAUGGACUUUUACUACAUAUAUCAUUAACAUCGGAGUAAUCAGUUCUUGAAGCCAACAUUACUAAACUAAGAUGACAGCAAUAAUUCGUAAUCAAAAAUAAAAACCAGCAAUAAUUCGCCAUCAAAACUAAAAGACAUCAUUAAUUCAUGUGACCCCUAAGGAAAAAGAAACUCCAAGUGAGAGCUUACUUCACCACCAAAAUCAGCAUGUCCAGGUGUAUCAACCAUGUUUAGCUCAUUUUCUUUCCAUGAAAUUGAAGUAACCUGCAUACAACAAUUCUUUCAUUACAUAAACUCCGAAAAGUUCUCUUUUUUCAAAAAUUCUUGCUUUUAACAUUUUUUUUUCCUUCAAAAAUUCUAGCUUUUUCGAAAAGUACUAUGACAAAAAGAAGAAAUCAAGAGACCUUAGAGGCUAUGGUGAUGCCACGCUCGCGUUCAAGGCUAAUGGAGUCCAUGGCACGUUCGUGAGGAAUAUCGGCGCCGCACUGCCUAAGCAAUCGAUCCAUCAGUGUCGUCUUUCCAUGAUCGACAUGUGCAAUCACAGCAACAUUACGUAACCGGCUAGGGUCCAAGGCGGAAUUCGGUGCUGUUGCAGCCGAGGUGGUUGCAGUGGAGGAGGCGGCGGAGAAGGCUCGUGUGACGCCAGUGGUGGCGCGUGGGAUAAAUGGUGUAACGCUUGAUGAAAGGUAGUGCUUGUAUAGUAAGGAAGAGGAAGAAUAAGAAGAAGAAGAUAUAGACUUCCUGGUGGAGGACCAGAGAGUUCGAAGCAGAGGACCCGCCAUUUUUUUAAGGUAAAAAUAGCAACGAGGUUUAUGGUUUUAAGUUCGACUUCUAUUGGUAGGGUUUUAGACAAGGAGAAAGAUACCCACGUGGCUUUUUCUGCUUUGGUAAGUUAAAUAAAUAAAUAUUGUAAUAAAAUCGAAUUGGCGCUACGUUCGACGACGACAAACAGUAAAUCGGAAAAUUUUGAGAACAAAAUACCGAUAAGCAGAACCUGCCGUCAUUCGUCGAUGAGGAGCCUAAAUAACGGCCGCAAAAUCGCAACUACCACAAAUAGGCUGAGAACUUAUUGUGAAGAAGAAAGGUGUAAAGUUAUGUUCUGAAAUUUCUAGCGUUUAAUGUUUGAGGGAGGGGAUUGUAAACCAUUAAUCUAUUCGUCCUUUUAUUAAGGUUAAUUAAAUAAUUAAUAAUUAUUAAAAUAAUUAAUUUUACUAAAAAAACCUUUAAAUUAAAUAGUUAACAUCUAUUAAAAUAACUGAUAGCGAUUAAAACAGUUAAUUUUAAUAAAAAAAAAACCCUAAUAAAUUUUAGAGACACCAAAAUAUAUUUUAUUUAUAAAUAUCUAAUAUCUUAGCUAUUAUAACAGCUAUCACCUGCGAAAACAAUUAAUUUUUUCAGAAAAAAAGAACUUUAAAUGAAUUUAGAGACACCAAAAUAUAAUUUAUUUGUGGUUAUCUAGUACAUAUGAUCGGGUAUGCAAUCUAAUAUUUUUAGAGUUUGCAAUGUACUUCCUAGAGAAUUAUUUUUGCUGUUAGAACUUGAUCUCGUGAUCAUCAAUACGCUGUUUUUCGAUAUGGAGUCUACGACGAUUCAACCACUGCACCAAGCUAUUUUUGUAAAUAAAUUCCCUAAUUACUAGUUGGUUUAUAAGAAAUGGCCUUACAAAUUAUAUUAAUCUCGUUAAGUUCUUAUAAAAUCUCCAUUAUUUUAUAAGAUAUAUAUUAUUUUAUCUUUUGAGAAAUUUUAAUAACCUUACAUUUUUGGGCCUUAUUAUGCAUUACCUAGUCCAAGAAAUUACUUGGUUUAAAAAUUCAGAUUUUGAUGUACGGACACCAAGAGAAGUUUAUAAUAUAUCUCAGACAUGGUAUUUGAUUACAAGAUCACAUGUGACCCAAUUAUAACAUAUUACAUUACAAGAAAGCAAAAAUGUUUAGCAAGAGAUGCAAUGAAGAAGAAAACAACAAAGGGCAGAGCAAAGAGACAUGAGACAUGCAAAUGGAUGAAAAUUUGAUUUACAAAAACAAACAAGGCCUUGGCUUCCUUUUUCUCUUCUUGGGUUUAGGAGGCUGCAAGACAACUUUGAUUGCUGCGUCAAAAACUGCCUUCACAUUCUGGCAAAUAACACAUAUAGAUAAAGGUUUGAGUUACCAAAUGAUUGGCAAUAUAUUUUGCAUAUAAAAGCCAAACAAAAUCAUCAAAACUAUUGUUAUUAGUGUGGAAAUGUGUACAAUAUUACUAAAAUUUGCAAUUUCAAGUGCACGAUAAGUUAUUCAUAAAACUUGGCAUGCUACAAGAUUUAAGUUGUAAAAUUCAUAGGUGAAUUUAUGUAUUUGGCCUAUAUUCAGAGGUAUGCAAGAUUGUUGUUGCCAUCCUAACCUGUUGAGUCUUUGAGCUGCACUCAAUGUAAACAGCAGCACCAAUCAUCUUCUUUAGUUCCUCUCCCUGCACUUACAAUUAAAACUUGUUACUUCUUUUAGUUCAUAGAAUUGGCAAAUCCACUUUGUUCAAAUAGCACAUAGCCAAUGGGAAUGAACAUUUUGCCUGAGAAGUUGUGAUUGGUGUUGCACCAGGAUGAUCAAUCAAAUACUGCUUGUCGUCUCGCAAAUCUGCAGUUAUAAAAUCCAGUCAAAAUCUAUUUCGUAUUGAAAUUGAAAAGUGGAAUUGUUUUUUCAGGAAAAUACCAAUGCAAAUGCUGUUGGAAACAACAAUUCCAACAUAUGGACAUUGAAACGAAGGAGAUCUUCAAUUACCUAGUUUAGUACCCACUAGAACAACUGGUACAGUUGGGGCAUAAUGCCUUAGCUCAGGAAUCCACUGGUGCCCAACAAAAAGAAACAAUCAAGAAAAAUGAAAAAAGGGGCAAAUUUCAAGACCCAAAAUUUACAAACAGCAAAUGAAAAUAGUAAACUAAACCUUCUUGGAAAUGUUCUCAUAGCUAGCUUUACUUAUUAGGGAGAAAGCCAAAAGGAACACAUCUGCACCCCUGUAACUCAGAGGCCUUAGUCUGUUAUAAUCUUCCUGUCCUGAAGACACAAGUUAACUAUACUCAUAUAAAUAGGCUAAUUUUCAAUUUUCUCCUGAAAAAUUAAGAGAAUUGUUUAGAAAUGAGUAAAAUUUCUCUGAUUGUAGAAAACCCAAGAACUGACCUGCAGUAUCCCAUAAUCCAAGAUUGACUGUGCUACCAUCAACCACCACAUUAGCACUGAAAUUAUCAAACACUGUAGGGACAUAAUCCUAGCAAAAUAAAGAAAGAGGCUUUACAAUUAAAAUCAUUAUUUUUGAUUGCUGAGAGAAAUCUUGAGGGGAAAAAAGACUGGAAAUAAAAGUACAUAUAAUUAAACAUACAGUAGGGAAGGUGUUGCUUGUGUAAGAGAUGAGCAUACAUGUCUUCCCAACAGCACCAUCACCUACAGUAACACAUUUGAUAAACCUGGCUGUGCUCAUUUUUUGGGGAUUUUCUCUUUGAUUUCUAUUUCUUACACCAUUCCUACUGGCUUCUUCUUCUUCUUCUUCUUCUUCUUCUUCUUCUUCUCUCUCUCUAUCUCUCCGUUACUUUAAAAUUCUCAAAAAUAUUGAUCAACAAGGACUUCACACUUAUAGAGGGUCAAAUUUGAAGUGGUUUUGGUUUAAAAUUUGAAUAGGAAAGGAGGGAUGACAGAGUUGCAUUUAAUAAGGUAAGGAAACCCUAGCCCCCAACUUUAGCUGGAGCUCUUUACCUUUACCAUGAUUGCCAAAUAGCUUUCCUGUUUCUUUAAGGGGAAGGACAGUCGCUAAAGACACUAACAAAAGAAUUGUUUGGUGAUAGUGUGUUAGUUGGUUAAGUAUUGGAAAAGGGAGGGAUUGAAUCAUUAGUGCUAAGAAAGAAAAUUACACAUUGCUUAAUUAGCCAAAUAAUCAUUUUCCAAGUAUAGAGUAGGAAACACAGGUGAAAGAAAGCAAGUUACCAGUAAAGGCAUGAUAUUUCCAUGCUUUCCUGUACAAAUUUUGACACAAAUCCAUUAUUAAUUUUCUAUAUUUUUAUUAAUUUGAUUCUAAUAAGAACUUCUAACUUGUAAUCUCAUAGUUUCCAACCUGAUUCAAUUUAUGUUAAAGAUAUUAUUUUGCUUUUUCUAUCCAAUGAUUGCAAAUGCAUUUUUAGGUGUAAGUAUCUGAAUUCAAUUGCAUGGAGAAAUUAACACUCAGUUGGGUCAGGUUAACAAAACUUGAAGGAGCUAACUUUAUGUGGGUGUCACCAUGAUUAAGGGAAGAAUUUAUAAAUGGGAUGUUCAAUUCAAUACCAUUUUAACUAAAGCUCGCUUUUGAUGAACUCUUGAUAUUCCUGUUCCAAUCAUUUAAUCAAGUUUGGUCAUUGAGUGUUGAAUAAUUUAAAAUUAAAUUAUUAUCCAAUGGUUAAGAUUGCAUGUGAAAUGUGAUACAGUAAUAUUCAUUUUCUAUAAGAACGUGAGGAGCGAAAUGUUUCAGAUUCGAAUUCUAUCGAUCACAAUCAUUAAUACCCACGUUACGAUUUGAAUUAGAUUCGAAUCCAGUGGCUACUUAAUUUAUAUUGCUUUUAUUAGUUAAAAGAUGACAACUCCAUGUGAGCAAGUGUCUUUUUAUGACUAUGAUUUGAUCUCUAAUGUGGGGUAUGGAGUCACUGAAGGCAGUGAUAGCAUCCAUGUGAUGAAGAAGAUGAUAAUAUAUAUGGCUUUGGAAGUGACCUGUCUAUGCUGUGUGACAUUCACAACAAAAGAUAUCACAAACCCUUUAAAGGUUGUUCUGAAAUGUGACUUUCAGAGCAAAAAUGGAUUUCUCGUCUGAAUCUGAUCAUAUUGAAAGGGGACCUAAUCUGAUUUUUGCUUCAUGGACAAGUGAAAAUGGACCACAUAGUUUACUAAUAUUAUUGGCUCUGCCUUCAUUUAUGGGCCUGUUAUCAAAUUGGGGAUUAGGGUUUUAAGUAUAACCUAAUUAAGAAUCAUCUAAGCCCAACUUCUAGUCUUAUUAUUAUUAUUAUUAUUAUUGAGCUUGAGAAGCUCAUUUCUUAAAUUAAAAAGAUGCCUAAUAAGCAAUAAUAUCCCCAAAGUUGUGUAAUAUUGUAAUUGCAACAUAUUUUUUAAUUUUUUUUAAUAAAUACACUCUAAAAUAAUGCUUAAUAAGUAUUAUUUUAUUUUUUUAAGUUUAUAUUAUUUUUUGAAUGUAUUUUUGUUUAAACACAGAUUAAGGCUCACCUAAAAUUAUAUUAUUCUUGCAAAAUGUUUGGAAACAACAUUAUUUUAGUAAAUUGUAUUCGUACUCUUAAUUAUUUUAUUUAACUAAAAAUCAAAAAUUAUUUUUUAAAUCUGAAUCUCAUUAUAAAUUUAUUUCUCAAAGAAAAUAAAACCUACAUCAGUUGGUAUAAAAUCUAAUAAUCUUUAUUCAUUUAUCUAUUUAUUUUCUUUAUAGUAUCAAUCUCUAACACGGUUAUAGUAUUUACGUAUGUCUCUUAUUCUUCAUAUGGGCUACCUAAACCCUAAUAAACUCUUCGCAAUAUCCCUUUGUUUUUUAAUUUUUUAGGGUGGCUAUCUUUUCAUGUCCCUCUAGACAAAUACUUUGUUCUUCAUCUUCUUGUUCUUUUUUUUUUUCCUGUAUUAUUUAUACAAACAUCUCCUUUUCAUUCCAUUCAAAAAUAAAAACAAAGCUCAUGCAAGGUUUGUAUAUUAUAUUUUUUCUUCUUCCUGUCUAAAAAUUAUUGGAUUCGUUAAUUUAUGAACAUAGCUUUGAAAAACCAGGUAAUAAUUGGUGCUAAUUAUUUUACUUAUUUCUUUUUAUUUUGUUUGAUUUAGAGAAUGCAAAAGCGCAAUAACAGCAAUAAUAAUGGUGGAACGGCGGGGGCGCAUCCAGCUUGUGCUUCAUGCAAGCAUCAAAGGAAGAAAUGCGGAGAAGAUUGCAUAUUAGCACCAUAUUUUCCGGCGGAUAGAAGCCGGGAGUUUCAAGCUGUUCAUAAAGUUUUUGGAGUAAGCAAUGUGAUGAAAUUAGUAAGGAGCGUUAGGGAAGAAGAUAGAAAAACUGUGGCGGAUUCUUUGGUUUGGGAAGCUUUUUGCAGGCAGAAUGAUCCAAUUUUGGGUCCUUUAGGAGAGUAUAGAAAAAUUCAAGAAGAGCUUAAGCUUUACAAGAAUCAAACUCAAAUGGUGAACCAAAAUCAACUGGUUCAGCAGCAACAAGGGAUGAUUAGUAGUGCUUGGAAUGGCACUAACAAGGGAGGAGGAGGAGGAGGAGGAUUAGCUAAUAAUAAUAACAGUAUAGUAAUUAAUCAUAGUCAUAACAAUGGAAAUGGAAAUAUAAUUGUUGAUCAAAUCCCAUAUGAUAGUUAUCCUUUAAAUUAUGUGCAAGGUACUGAGAAAGUUAGAAGGCAAGAAAAAUUGCAGCCCCAUUUGCAGCAGCAGCAGCAUUCGAUUACUACUGCUGGAUUUAAUCAGCAACCGUAUUACCUCCCAGGUAACUAAUUAAACUGUUUAAUUAUUAAGUAAAUUAAACAUGAAAUGCACUUAAAUUAAUUCUCAUUUAAGUUAUAUGUUUAAAUUUUUGGCAGGGCAUUUUGGUUCUAUCAAUGGCAAGACAAUGGAUGGGACAUUGUGGGAAGGUGGAAUAUAACUAAGUUAAUGAUGGAAUUGAUCAUAAGUACAAUAUAUAUACAUGCAGAAAAUUUAGCAGCAGUUAACAGACAGACAUGGAAGAGAAAUCAAAAUCCGUUAUAUGAUUCAAUUUAUAUUAUUGUAUUGCAAUUCUUGUUAAUUUCAGGCAAUCAGUUGUUGCUUAAUUUGAUGUUUAGGAAUUUAGACAUCAUAUUACAUAUGAAAUUCAUAUUAUUAUAGAGAAAUAUUAAUUGUUAAUAUUAAUCAAUAUUAUAUUUUUUAUAGCUUCAAAUAGAAAGAAAAAUAGAAACAAGAGUUUUGAAUAUGUAUAUACGAAGGUGUAGCAACUGAUAUAUUAUUAAUGCUGUUUUUUCUGUAUAUACAAGUAAUGAAAGGCAGCCACUUAUAUAGUGGUUAAGUCCACGACUAAGUACAAAGAAUCCCUUAAUAAUCUAUGAAAUAUUAACUAAUUAUUGAAAGCAGAUCCUAGCUACCAACUCAGUCAAGAUACAAUCUGCACAUGGUAAUCCAACAACCAAAUAUAUCUAACAGAAUAUGGAAAAUAUUUAGCCAUCCUUAUUCCUCCUUAUUUUCCACAACAGGUGCUUGCAAGGAAGUGUGAUCACUUAUAACCACCUUAUCACUCCUGUGAUCAUCAACACAAAUAUCUUAACCAUCCAUAUAUUAUUUUUUAAAAGAUUUUUGUCCUGAAAAAUAUAUUUUCUGAAAUCAAAUUUAUAUUUUCAUAAUCGGAUGGAGAUUAACACGACUUACCUUCAUAUCUAUUUAUAUAAAAAUAAGAUGGCCUUUAAUAAUAUCAUUCUAAUGAAAUAAUUUUUAUAAAUGAAUCGGGAAAAACUUGCAAAGAAAAAUUUUUAGUAUUUAUUAAUUUCAGUAUUCAACUUAAAACUUUGACUUUGGGUCAAGUCCAAAGUCCAGCAACACUUGAAACAUAGCCCAAAAUGGAUUCUAAGCUCUAACUUCUAACCAUGGCUUGAUUAGCAAAUUCCCAAGGAUAAUGGAGAUGACCCAUUGCAGACUUUGCAGUUUCAACAACUUAUUUACCUUCUUCAUCGCCUUCUAUUUCCUUGUACCCUCAGCACACUCAAAAGCACCUCUCAUCGGUGUCCACCCUUUAGGUGUUCGCUUCUCUCUCUCUUUUUGACCCAGAUCGUCAAUUUUCAUUUUGUUGUUGAUUUCAUUUCAAUUAUUGUGUUAUUUUAUACUGAAUUUGAUUUCUGCACCUUUGCAGAUGAGAAGUACUUUUCUUCGCGGCUUAUCAAAUGCAAGGACGGCUCGAAAUCCUUUCCCAGAGACAGUCUCAAUGAUAAUUUCUGCGACUGUGUUGACGGAACAGACGAGCCCGGUAUCGGAAAUUCUAAAUUUUGUUGCUUCUGCAGUACUAUUGCUUCAAAUUCUCAAUCUUUUGUGUUUACGUUUUACUGGGUACUUAAAUUUUAGUUACUUUAUGUCGUAUUUGAUGUGUGAAGCUUACUAACUGUGGAUUGAUUUUAUUACUAUCAUGUAUAAUAUCGAAACCGUUUCUUUAUACAUUCUGGGAAUGCAUGUUAAAAUUCUGGAUUGGACCAUCUGUGUAUUUAGUCUUCAGAAAUAUUUUGCGGGAAAAUGGCAAUUGAGUGCUUCACUGUUUGAUGUUUGAUAAAAAUUUAAGAUGUGAAAGUUUUAUUGCUUUUAUGAGAACAUGCCUGAGAAAACUUUGUUUGCUGUAAUGGGCUAGUUUAAUUGAAAAAGAAUUGUUAUAUUUCAAGUGGAAUACCUAAUCUUUGAGAUCAAAGUGGCAUCAAGUCAUUCUUUUCUAAACCUGUGUAGAACUACUUUGCUAGUGGAUUUAUUGUUUGGUGGAUUUCCAACGUCCAAGAUACUGAAUUCCUGUUAUCAGAAAUUGUGAUGCUAUUUCUUUUUCCAUUUUUUUUUUCCCUUUUAAACUGGAACACUUUUACUUCCCCUUUCUCUUUGGGUUUAGGAAUUGUGAUGCUACUUUGCUUGUAAAUUUUAUAAUUCUGCCUGAGAAUGUUUGCUUUUUUCUUUUUUUCUUUUUUCAUCUCAACUUUAUGUAUGAUGAUAGAGAUUUUGCCAGUGAAUUGAGUGGUAUUUUCUUGUGGUUUGUGCCAUACACAUAAGCUGAUAAUUUUACUAAAUUAUUUUUCUUCUAUGCUAUUUAUUUCUUAGUGGAUCAUAUUUAGUUGCGAUUUUGAUUUAUCCUGCAGGAACUUCAGCCUGUCCCAGAGGCAAAUUUUAUUGCCAGAAUUUAGGAAGUAAACCCCAGUUUAUAUUUUCAUCCCAUGUAAAUGAUCGAAUUUGUGGUGAGUACAAUAAGUAAAAUUGGUUCACUUCCUUCUCUUUAAUGCUUCAAGUCUUCUUUGCCAUUCAUUCUUAUGGCAGAUAGCUGGUUCAGGUGCAGUAACCUAGGGUUUAUGUGCUUUAGCCUCUUACUGAUUUAUCACUUGUAUCAUCCAAGGGAACAAAAAACUUCAAUUUUGGUAAUAUUUUUCUUCCUUGUUGAUAUCAUCAGGCUUCAGCUCGAUACAAUGUUCCCCUGUAUGCUUGGUUUUCGAAGUCAUAUCUGUGGAUACUGAUUAAGUGAUUAGUGUUUUCAUGUUUGCUUCACACAUUUUAUCUAUACCAUUCAAUCCCAUUUUGUGCACUACAUGAAGUUUUCCUCCUUUGUAUUAAUGCAAAUUGGGUUUGUCCUUUUGUUGGACAAUUGGUUCUUUAUGUCAAUUUAUUAACUUUGUAGAUUGCUGUGACGGAAGUGAUGAAUAUGACAGUGGCAUCAAUUGCCCAAACACAUGUAUCAUGGGUGGAAAUUUGGAGUACAAGGCAAGACGUUUUAUCUCAGCUACUGAUGCCAAGGAAUCGGAAGAUGGACUUCUUCUGGAGGACUUAUUGCAUAAGGCUAAAGGUAUUCUUCAGGCAACAUUAUUAUUUUUUAAUCUAACUUACAGUUACUGGUAGCAUAAACAGGGUAAUGCUUACUGAUUCCAGGGUUGAAGAUGGUGAUAAUUCUUCAAGGCGUUCUCCUUGGUUGCGUGGUGAUAUUUCAAUUAUUUCGUCGUCGUCGAAAAUUAAAAAGAAUGCAUUAUCAUUAAAGAAUUUUAAUAUUUUUGGUAAAAGCCUCUCACUUCUUCCUGAUAGCUCAAAAUUCCACAACCCAUAUUAUGGUUUGCGCUCUCAUUAUGGUUUUAUAUCAGUAGCUGCAGGUUCCUGCUCAUACAUUCUGGUGUUUUGGCCUGAAACAGCCUUUGUCUUGGAGGCAUUCCCUUCUUGAUACAAAACUUUAUUAACCAAAAUCGAUGAGAACUGGACAAUAUGGGAUACUUAAUUAACCGUGAUUAUACAAAUGCACAAAGUGAAACUUUCAAGACUUCCUGUGGUCCAUCUGAUCCGAUGCAUGUCAUAUGCUUCAACAUUGGGCAAUACAGCUGCAUUAUAGGUUUAACUGUUAUUGAUGACAUAUUAGAUUUGGAAAGAACUGCUUCAAGGUGUAUUGGACUCCAUGAAAGAAAGAUUUUUCUUGGUAUAAUUUGUUGUGGCACCUUUGAUGUUUUCCCUUGAAUGCUUGUUUUGGUAAAGCAAUAGAUCUUAUUUUGCCUCAUCAAGUCUUAAAAUUUUAUUCUAGUAAAAUUAAAGUGUGUAUGAUUCUCAGUCUGUGCAGAUAAAAAUCACUAAUGGAAGAUUUUCCAAGCAAUAUUUUUCUUUCAUAAAGAGGGGAAAAAAAGGCACUUAAAAUGAAUAGUAUUGCAUUUUUAUUUUAUCCUGGAAUGAUCUGAAGAGUCUUUCCUGUGUUCCUCUAUGGGAAGGGGAGAGUUGUUUUUCAGUUGAAAAUGUUUCUCUUGUCGUGCGCAUGUAAUUCUAAUGAAACGACGACUCCUUCUUUGGCAGAUACGAGUAAGACUGCUACACGUCGUUUUUAUGGAAUAAAGUUAAAUCUCUUCAUCUUUUGUCUCGUUUACUUUAUUGUUGGAAAUACCGUUAAUGAAGAACCCUAGCCAUGGAUACUUAGAAAUCUCCUUUCCUCAAAAAUGAUAAUCGGAAUAACAAGAAAAUGGUUUCCUUUUCGCAAUUCUCUUCACCAAUUUCCAUUAGUUCGCUCAAUUUCUUCGGUUUAACCAACAAUCCAAUCAGCAAUUGAAGCCAAAGCCUACCAGAAAAUCCCUGACCUUCUAAUUUCCUUAAAAGAGCAACCUUUCCAAAAUCCUAAUCCUUUCUCCUUCCUUUCUAACUUCCCUCUUAAGACUGCUACACGUCGUUUUUAUGGAAUAAAGUUAAAUCUCUCCAUCUUUUGUCUCGUUACUUUAUUGUUGGAAAUACCGUUAAUGAAGAACCCUAGCCAUUGAUAUUUAGAAAUCUCCUUUCCUCAAAAAUGAUAAUCGGAAUAACAAGAAAAUGGUUUCCUUUUCGCAAUUUUCUUCUCCACUUUCCAUUAGUUCGCUCAAUUUCUUCGGUUUAACCAACAAUCCAAUCAGCAAUUGAAGCCAAAGCCUACCAGAAAAUUCCUGACCUUCUAAUUUCUUUAAAAGAGCAAUCUUUCCAAAAUCCUAAUCCUUUCUCCUUCCUUUCUAACUUCCCUCUUAAUCAAAGAACCCAAAUCGUGGAUGAAAUUUUACAAUCUUUUAUCCCUUUAAGACCACGAUCUUACCCGAAACUUGCAUAUUCUUUUCUCCUUUCUUAUACUCUUCAAAACCCCAAUCCUCUUCCUCUUGCUUUAGCCAUUCUACAAAGUACUCUUCGUUCUGGCCUUUCACCUGAACCCGGAAUUCGUCUUCUUCUCUCUUCUGCUUGGCUUGAUAAAAGAAAGCAAUCUCAAUCUGUAACUACCAUUCUAACGGAAAUGAAGUUUAUUGGGUAUUAUCCUGAUUGUGGUACUUGUAAUUAUAUUAUAUAUUGUCUUUGUGCUGUUGAUCAGUUGCUUGAGGCAGUUAAAGUCUUGAAGGGUAUGGGUAGGGUGGGUUGUGUUCCUGAUUUGGAAAGUUACGGCAUUGUUAUUGGUUCAAUGUGUGUAGCUAGAAAAACUGCUGAUGCAGUAGAGAUGAUAAAGGAAAUGGUGGUAAAACUUAGACUGAAUCCAAGGCAAGGAACAGUAGUGAAACUAUUAGCAAUGUUGAGGGCAAAUAGAGAAAUAUGGAGAGCAGUUGAGAUAAUUGAGUUUUUGGAGAGGGAGGGCUGUCCUGUUGGAUUUGAGAGUUACGAAUUGGUGGUUGAAGGAUGCUUGGACUGUAAAGAGUAUAUUUUGGCUGGAAAGGUAGCUAUAGGAAUGACAGAGAAAGGGUUUAUACCUUAUAUCAAGGUUAGACAAAAGGUGGUUGAAGGACUUGCUGGUGCUGGUGAAUGGAAGCUUGCUUGUGCUGUGAGGCAAAGAUUCACAGAGUUGAGCUCAUAGUUUCUUCCAUUUUUAUGGGAAUGAAUUCACACAUAUGUAAUGGUUGAUAUGGGUUGUUGAUUUUUCAUUUGUUAGCUGCAUGACAUUCUAAUCCUCUUAUGAUGACUAAUCUAUGGUGGUUAUUAUAUCAGGCAGUCACUAAGUGAGUGUUGGAGUUGAAAUCCACAGGUAUGUAUUGUUAGAAAGGCAGAGACUUGUUUUUUAUGAAGUUCUUACUAAGCAUUAUUUGUAACAUUAUCUUAUAUUGGUUAGAACCUAGCACAGUGCAAUUUGAGUUGUAUUGUUACUUAUAUUAAGAUGUCUUCUUUAGAAUCGAAAGUAGUGUGUGUUAGUUUACAAUUCUGAUUUCUGCUAACUGAUUAAUGUUGUACUUACACAAUUUGGUUCAAUUAUAUAAACAAAGUAAGCAAAGCCUUACCUCAAUCAGUCAAUUGAUGCUAAUACCAUGCAAAUUUUUUUGUUGCAAUGAUGGCUCUUGAGGCUCAUCCAUAUUCUGAUACAUUCAAACCUUAAAUAUACCUACAGACUUUAAGUCUCAUUUUCACUCCAGAACAAAGUAAAAUAUUAACACCUUUUAGUUGCUCGAAAGACUUGUGAUUGGUAUGCGGGUUCUUUUUCGGGCUUUGCCAAAUGACAAAUGAGAUAGAUGAAAGUUAUGUUAAGCAUUUUAUAUCAAGAAUUGGGGAUCUCCAAUCAAUGAUGUAAUAUCCAUUUUGAUACGAAGGAAUUACCCAUCUUCUUAUGCUUAUGGCAUGCAUUUUCCCUACCAUACUUCCUGCAAAGCUUAACUAUUGUUAAAUUAAUUUCCAUGAGCAAUAUCUUUUACUUGGAUUUGUAUGUAAUUACUAAUAUGGAAGACAUCUUGUUAAGAGAUUGUCAAGUCACCCUAAAGCCAGGAUCAGCCAAGCACAUAUAAAAUGAUUCUUAUUCCUGUUCCUUGACAGGGUAGCUAGGCUCCAUGGCAAUGCCACAGAUACCUUUCUUGCCCUUGGAACCACGCCUCAGUUUUAUAUAGCCAGAAUCACCCCACUCUGUACCCCAUGAAUUUUUAACGAGCCAGUACUUUUUACCAUCAGUUUCUCCGUAGCCGACUGCUGUGACUCCAUGGUUGAGUUGUGUUCCACAGAAGCCACUGAAGAUUCCUUUUGAGUAGAAUUGAAAUGAAAAACCACCGGCAUCAAUUGCAACAGAUACAGGUUGCUUGGCAACUGCAGUUUGUAGGCUUUUCUCAUCAUUGGCAGGUACUGCUUCAUAACCACUAAUAGUCACUGUCUGAUUUUUAUUUUUGUUUUUGUGGCAGUUGCCAUCUUUUCCUUCAUAGGGAUAAUCAUCUUCAAUGGAGAGCCCCUGCUUUUGAAUGUAUGUAAACGCUGUUUCCAUGAAUCCACCAUUACAUCCCUGGCUAUCAUUGUGAGUAUCACAGUCUACAAGCUCUUGUUCUGACAGAGAUACUAAUUUUCCUGUCUUGAUUUUGUUAAUGCCUUCAACAGCUGCCACUGCAGAGAAUGCCCAACAACUUCCUGUAUAGAACUGUCACUUUAGAUCUUGUCAUGCCAAAAAUUCUUAGAAUAAAACAAAAUGAUUAAUUGACAAUUGGCAUAAAACAAAAGCACUUCUAAAAAGUGCACUUGGACUCAAAUUUCUCAGGGAAGAAAAAAAUGAAAAAGAAAAGGGAAACAAAGCUUCAUACCACAUUGACCUUGAUCUUUAACCGGGGUUACAGCGCCUUCCUUUAUCCAAUCUACUGAGGUUGGCAAGUCUGAGGAGUUUCCAUGCUCAUGGCUAGGCUUCUUUCUACCGUGUUUAUUAGCCUGAAAACCCAGGUAGAUAGAUUUAAACUCAUCAUUAGUCAAGUCUGCAAACUUGUUAUCUCUGAGUUCGUAUGGUAAUUUCUGAGCAUUGAUGUAGUCAAUGAACUGAAUGUUUGAUUGAUAUAUUCCAAACCGCAGAUAAUAUUCGUCUUUGUUAUGAUAUUUUCGACCAUGAUGUUUCAGCCACCUGUCAUACCUCUUUCUCAUGGCUUUGGGGUUAUAUCUUGGCAGACUAUGGAUUUCUAAAUCUGCCAUUGUAUGUAUCAAUAGAAUGCAGAGAGAUAUAAGAAUCAAGCCAGCUUUCUUUAAAUUAAUAUGCGACUCCAUGGCUACUGACGAUGUCUAUGGAGAAUGGGAGCUUAUAAAUGACAAUUUUAGUACAUCCCAGGAAUGAUAUAUGGGUUGCUUACGGAAUGCAGUUAUUAUCAUUUACGUAGAUCAUACUUUUGCACAAGUUAUUUCAGUUGGACUUCUUGUUUCAUUCAUGUCUUCUUUGCUGUCCAUUUUUUCUGGGGGAAGUCUUUCAUGUUCAUUCUCAUGUGUGAAUUGUACACGCAGGAUUAUCUGCAUAAUGGGAAGCUUAGGACGGCUAACCAAGAAUCUAGGAAAAUCAGGGCUGGGUAACUCUCUUGAUGCGGCUAAUGCUUUGGUCAAGGAUCGACGCUGAGCUGAGCCUACACAUUGCUGCUCUCACUAUAUGCAUCUGAUAUCGUUGAUGUGUUUUGUUUUAGCUUUUAGUACCGAUAUUCAUGCAAAAGGUGUGAACUUACAAAACCAAACCCAGAUGCCAAUAUUUAGUUUAACAGAUUAUGUAAACUAUCAUAUGGAUUGAUUUUGCAUGGAGUCUAUUAAUAUACCAAAUUCUAUUUUUCUUUAACUGUCUUAAAUGGUAAAACAGCAGCAAUCUUAUGAUUUUGGUUUUAGUGCUAUUUAGCAUGUGAAGGUGAUUCAAAUUAUUAGCUACAAGUUGCUCUGGCCCCUUCUUUUCUUUUUUGAUAUAAACUCUUUGUGGUUUCUACUAUUUUGUGAGAAAGGUUGAACUAUACUUUAAUCAUUAACAAUAAUUUCUCUGAAGUACAUGUUUAGCAAAUUGAAACCUGUCCUUGUCUAUCAUAGAUUCAUAGUAACUAGGCUUUUAUAGUUAGGUUCCCUUUUAUAUCAAUUAUCAUCUUUUAAAAAAAAAAAAAAAAAGAAAAAUUUUCUAUGCAUAGCACGUGAUGUGCUCCAAUAUCGAGGGAAUGAUCUGAAUGAAUAAUGAUAUUGGAUUGGUUUUUAUAGGGACAGUGGAAUUACCUAUGAGAUAGGAAGUCUGUGUGUCUUAUUUUAUUUUUAUUAUUAUUAUUUUUUUAAGUUUCAUCUUUAUUAUUAUGGGAUUUUUUUCUAGGAAAAAUUUACGUAAAAGAAUAUAUUACAAACCUGUUCUGAAACAGUGUUGCUAUUUGGAUUAGACAUCAUACGAAAAGAGACUUUUUAUUUUUUUUGUUCUUUUUGGCAUGUUAUUAGUUCUAGUUCUACUUAUGAGUGUUUAAAUUAUGCUAAUUUGAUUUCGAUUUUUGGGUACCUAAUGUUGCUGAAUUUAGAAAAUGCUGAGUAGAUGAGCAUAAUAUUAGAGGCAUCUGCCAGGAAUUUAAGGUGGUGAUGGAGCCACAACGUGCAUGGUGUGUUGUGUUCAAUGUCUAGUAAUGGCCAUGGCCCCCAUCUAAGUUAAAGAAGGCACCGAUUUGACUAUUAGUUCAGUCUCCACUAUCUAACCUUAUUAAAUAUUUUUUUUUUUUUUUUAAGGAAAAAUGCAUUUUGCAUUAAUUGGAAUUAUAAAACAUAGACAAACACUGUGGUACAGACUCUCACACUUAGAAACGAGUAUGAUCGUAAGAUGCUCUUAUAAGAGAACGAGCGCCUAAAUUCACUUGUCUCCUCACCCACUGUAUUUUUUUUCUAAAGAAAGGUUGAAGGACCUGAAGGAAAUGCUUGCUUCUUAUUUCUCAGCUUCUUCUUCUUCCCUCCCCUUGUUUUAUUUUAUUUUAUUUUAUUUAUGUCAUCAAGAUUUCAUUUUGCUUAAUUUGGGUGCUUUUUUCCCUAAAUUCUCUAAGUAUUUUUUACCUAAUUAAGACUUACUGACGGAUUGCUAAUUUUGAUGCCAACUGUUUUAACAGAAUAUGUAUUUCAUACUCUAAAUGACUAUAAUAGAGACAUUUUACCAUUUAUUUAAAAUUGGAAUUUGUAAUUCUUUAUUAUUUCAAUUUUUACUUAAAAUAAUUAGAAUUACUUGCAUGAACAAAAUUUAAAACUUACCAUAGAACUGUUUCUCUCUCCUUCUCUCUUAAAUAUGUAUAUUAUAUAUAUAUAUAUAUAUAUAUAUAUAUAUAAUAUACAUAUUUACAUUUAUUUCAUACACAUGGCAAGUCUCCAUCAUCACUAGUAAAAUCCACCAUUUUAUUCCCACAUCUUGAGGAAUAUUUAUUAUCUCUUAAAGAAAAAAAAAUGAAAAAUGAAAAUGUAUUAUUGACAGAAACAGAAAUUAAUAUGUAACUAUUCACAUGCACUAUUCAUCAUAAAAUGGUUGCAUGAACAUGAUUAGUUAUUAUAAUAAUAUUAUAAUUAAAUAAUUGCCAGGAAGGAACUCAUGACUUGAGAUAUAUAUAUAUAUAUAAAAGGAGGCAAAACAUGUUACAUUGUAUUAAUAAUAAUAUUAUGGCGUAAUAAUUAUAAAGUAAUGUAAACAUCUCUUUCUUUACAAACUAAUGAUGAUUAAUCGUGCUUCCAAUGCACUUUGGAUUAAUUAAAACAACAUAAAUUCUAGUCUGAUAGUGAUUGGGAGGUGCCAAGAAGCUGUGUGGAACCUAUAGAAAAUAAUAAGGACACACUACCCUACAUGUGGGUAUAGUUUGGGGACAAAGCAAAGAAAGCUUGCAAAUUAUUCACAUGGCCUGACAUGAUCUCCCCUUCCCCAACUCCCCCCCACUCCCUUUCUCUCCUCCUUCCUUCUUUUUUUUUAACAGCUCACCCCUAAGUAUCCCACUACUGCUAUCCUCUCAUCCCUAAUCUUAGAAUAUGUUGGGUAAAAUUAGUUGUUUUGAUAGUUAUUAGCUGUUUGAGCAGUGUUUAGUUAUUAGUUAUUCGAUUAGUUUUUCAAGAAACGCUAAAAGUUAAAUGUUACGAUAGUUAACUUUUUAUAAAAUACUACUUAUUGAACACUGUAAAUAAUAAUAUUUACUUAAAAAGUUAUCGUUGAACACAAUUUUAUACUACUAAUUUACAUUUAAUAAUAAUAAUAAAAUGAUUAAUUUAGAUUUUUUUAGGUUUUAGGUUUACGUUCAGACCAAAAAUGGUUUUAGGUAAUAAAACUUUGGAGUUAUUGAUCCAACUAUAUGUUUAAUCUUCAUAACUGUUAAUUUAAUUGUUUCAACAAUAUUUCAAACUAUUUUUCGAGCGUAAAACAAUAUGAAAACAAACCCUAAAUCUUGUCUACCAAUAUUUAUGGAGAAGGAAGUGUAGCAAUAGCCUAGAUGGUGAUCGAACGGUGUGGAACAAAUUGACUUAAAGGGUGGAUGGGUUUUACUAGAGUGGACUGAAAGAUCAACGGACAGGAAAUAAGGGUAUAGGAAAAGGGCAAGGGUAGGUAGAUACAUGGGAAUGUUCCUUUGAGAAGAUAUUAUUGUUAUUAUUUAAAAUAAUGAGACUAUUAUUAUAACAUAGCCACUAAAGGGGCGGUCACAAGGGCACGUGGUCACUGAUUCCGCUAGUUAUUAAAACUACUGGCGACUUUCCAGUAAUACCGUUGAGACCCAACCUCCUAACAGCUGUACAUAGCUGUCCAAUCGCUCCCCAUGUGACCCCACUGCCAUUUUCUGAGAAAGAAGAUUAGGAUUCAAGAUUUAAUAUGGGAGAUGAUAAUAUAUUCAAUGACAUGACAAAAUAAGCUCUCUUAAUGAUGAUGAUUUUGUUCUCCUCCUCUUCUUCUUCUUCUUUGUGUCUUUCUUGAUUCUUUGCCUUUCACAUUCCUUUUCUAGUGUUCUUUAACAAAUACAUAACAAGAAGUUAUAUAAAGAAAGUUCUGAUCUCUUUAAUUAUCUUCUUGUGGAAAGUCUUUCUUGAUUAAUUCUUUGGGUCUUUGCUAUUCACAUUACAUUUCUUUCGUCUUUUCUUGAUUAAUUAGUUACACAAGAAGAACAAAUUAAGCUUCUUCUUGUUUCUUUCUUUGAUUCUUUGCCAUUGGCAUUCUUGUUCUUGUGUUCUUCUUGGAUUUGUAUAUACAAAAUCAAGAAUUUUCUUCCUUGAUUUGUAUAUACAACAAAGUUGUUUUUCAAUUCUUGGGUUUCUUUCUUUCUUUGUAUUUCAUUCGGUUUGGCGUUUCUUGAAUUAAUAUUGGAAUUUGGUUUCUUUAAUUCUUUACUUUCUUGAUUUUUUUUUUUUUUGUUGUGUCAUUUAGAGGGUAUUUAUAUAUUAUUAUAUAUACACUGCUAAAUGGCACAAUUACCUCCAAAAAUCCCUAACAUGCAACCAACUGCUUGGCCUGACUUCUCCCACCAAAAGUUACCUUCAACAGUCAGCGCCAUUAUGCCACCUUCUAACAACAAUGCUGCCACCGCCGCCGCCGCCACCCAAAACCCUUCGUGGGUAGACGAAUUCCUAGACUUCUCGUCGGCAAGACGUGGGACCCAUAGGAGGUCAGUGAGUGACUCCAUUGCCUUCCUAGAGGCGCCAUUGCUGGAAGAAUGUCGUGGCACCGGAGGUCCGCCACAUCAUGGGUCCGAACAUAACAGCAGUACUGAUUUUGAUAAAUUUGACGACGAGCAAUUCCUGUCUAUGUUCACCGAUGAUAUCACCAAGGCUGUGGCAGCCCCGUCGUGCUCCAACCCUUCGACACCGUCUGAUCAUAAUAGCAUUAAUGAUGAGAAAGAAACAACGCCGUCUGAUCAGAAACUUCAGAAGAUAAGAAAUGAAACCGAUGAGGUUCAAAGUCAAUGCCAAACGGAGACACAAACUCCACCAAAUGCGACCAAUACCAAUUCUUCUGACAGGAUAGUUGAUCCCAAAAGGGUAAAAAGGUAAUUAUAUGCAUACACAUUUUUGCACCAAAUCAUAUUCCAAUGCCCAACUCUUAAAACACCAAUCCCAACCCUAAUCUCGAUAUAAAUUAUAUCUGGAGCUUGAAUUUGAGAACUCCGGAUAAAUAACGAUUGUCAUUCCAUCUCACCCAUUGAUCGUUCUUAUAAUAACACGUCCUGUUUCAUAUAUUAGAGUUAAUUAAUUCAUAAUUUUGUUGAUUAGUUUGCUAAUUACACAUUUGGUUAUGAUUUUGUUUGCAUUAGAAUAUUGGCAAAUAGGCAAUCAGCACAAAGGUCACGGGUGAGGAAGCUGCAAUACAUAUCUGAGCUUGAACGAAGUGUAACUUCAUUGCAAGUAAGUAACUAAUUACAUUAAUUAAUUAUUAAUUAGACUAUAAUUAUCCUAUUAUUUCAUGGAUUAAUUAAACUUUCAAGUUAUUGAAAUUCAACUAAUUAUUUUUUCUUUUCACAUUUCUUUAAUGAAGGCUGAAGUUUCAGUUCUGUCACCAAGAGUUGCCUUUCUAGAUCAUCAACGUUUGCUUCUAAAUGUGGAUAAUAGUGCUCUUAAGCAAAGAAUUGCUGCCCUAGCCCAAGACAAAAUUUUCAAAGAUGGUAAGUGUUUAAUUAUAAUAAUAAUAAUAAUAAUAAUUUAAUUAUUAUUACUAUAUACUUAAUUAGAAGCAUGUGAUGUUAAUAAUUCAUAAUUAAUUAUUGCUUACUCCGAGAAAAUAGCUAAUAGAUUAAGAUCGUAGUGUACCAAUUGCAUUAAUAAUUUUAAUAUUUUUUAUGUUAUAGUACUUUGCACUUGAAGUAUGCAAAAUUAUGGUACAAGUAAUUCCUGAU
Molecule: long non-coding RNA, 70032 nt
Filed under: Jatropha curcas
Lineage: Eukaryota; Viridiplantae; Streptophyta; Magnoliopsida; Malpighiales; Euphorbiaceae
Description: long non-coding RNA (JCUR_LNC002069)
Source: RNAcentral